This 51346-nucleotide long non-coding RNA is filed under the name Lathyrus oleraceus (garden pea). RNAcentral's name for it is "Pisum sativum (pea) long non-coding RNA (PSAT_LNC010753)". Lineage: Eukaryota; Viridiplantae; Streptophyta; Magnoliopsida; Fabales; Fabaceae. The record is from RNAcentral.
CGGCAAGUUCAGUCGAGGAUGAUGAGGAGGAAUCAGACAAGUCCAAAUCUGAAGUUAAUAACGAAGAUGAAGCAAGUGGAGAGGUAGUCCAAAUUCCUUAUUCAUCUUCUCGUACUUCUCGUACUUUCAUGAAUGUAUCAUAAGCAAGUUUAAUACAGAAAAACUAAGAGAAAAAAAACUUUUCUUGUUGUACAGGAUGACCACCAAGAUGACGAUGAUGAAGACGACGAGGACGAAGAUGACGAGGAAGACGAUGAUUGAAAUCGGUGUGCAUAACUUGAAAUAUGAUGUUUCAUUGAUGGAGGGAUGCUGUUAUGUAUUUCGUAGUAGGUUACUUUUGGAUAUCUGUGUUGGUUGAAAUAUCUGUUGUCUUGUUACUCUGCCGGUAUGAUAUUUUGCCGGCUCUACUCGAGCUUCCCUCAAUUGUUGUUAGUUAUUGUACUUAAAUUCUCCUUUGUGCAUUGUGCCUCAAAUGUGUAGGCUUAAGUAUUACUAUAAAUGUCAUUUUGAUCAAUGCUUUACUAUGUGUGUACUCAACAAAAUCAAAACCAAAAUACCAAAAUGCAAUGUUACUGCUUCAAUGAAUAAAAUUAAAGGAAUGCAAUGACAGUGUAACAUAUAUUAUUUACAAGCAAUAAGUUUGAAUGAGGUUCCUUCCACUAUGAAGCAACAAGAAGUUGUGAUGAUAUGACAUGAAUGUAGGGUCUAGCAAUAAGAGGCAGCUUUUCUAUGUACAUAAAUAGUCUUUUCAAAUUCUCCUUGUUGAUUGAAGCAAGAUCAUCUAUCUCUUUGCUGCUCAAGUACAUCCAAAGAUCACCGGAGUUUACUCGUUUAAGACUGUCCCGACAGAACGGGCAAGAUUCCGAUCUUCCAUGCCUAAACCGAAAAGAAAAAAAAAAUCAGCAAUUCUGACCGCAAUAUGACAGAUUUAGAGGUCUCUGCAAUGACAGAACUCACAACACGAUUGGCUUACCAGUCUCGGUAGCAUUUCAUACACAUUGAGUGAUUGCAACUGGGCAACACAACCAUGGUGUUCAUCUCCAUGCAACAAAUAUCACACUCUUCUUCAUCUUCUUCUGCAUCAAUUUCGGAGCUCUUUCCUCUGUUUACCAAUUCUUUACGCUUGUACUUAGUAGCACAUAGAUGUUUUUGUUUCCUAUCAUCAACAUCAGUGAUUCCUUGAUGAAGUUGCAAUAAAGACGGAAACACCACACCUGUUUAUUCAUUUAGAUUAUAAAGCACUUCUCUAAAAACUGCAAAAUCAGAAUUGCCUCUUAGUAAGACUUAACACUUACCAUAGAACUCCUUCAAACUGGCUUUUCUUUCAUGAAUAGACAUGGUUGUCUUCCCAUCUUUAUAUGCCUGCAAGACAGAAAAAACCCAACAUGUACAUCAUUAACUAGCCUGUCCGGUUAUUCGAAACACGUCGAGCGUUAAGAGGCCGAGAAAAUCACCUUGUAGAUAAAAAUUUUAAGCAAUCCUAAGGCUCCGGCGAGGUAACAGUCAGUCCACUGAACAAAAAAGAGGAAGAAAUGGGCAGUUGGGCUAUAGGACAAUCUCAUUUGAAGGCAGGCACCAUCUGGAUCACUUGGAUAAUCAGAAGCUCUGAUUCAAGACAUAUUUGCCACAAAGAUUAAUCAAAAUAAUCAACUUUUUUCAAAUUUCAAUAUUGCAACAUUAAAGAAAAGGUUCUCCCAAAUUGAAUCUUCUAAUCCCAUAAUCAAAUAAAACAAAAUCACAUAAUUACAGUGUAUUGGCAAAAUGAAUGUCAGCUUCAAGAGCUUUGAGGGAAUCCUUGAAAGACUUUCGCAUGAUCUCUCUAUUUCCUUUUUCUUCCUUCUUCCUUCUUUUGAGAACAAACCCCAUUCAUAAAUCUCUCAUAAAAAAACUGUCAAAUUAAAAGUAAAAACUCAUAGAUUAAUUAAUUAAUUAAUUAACCCAAAAACACCAAGAAGAAAAAAACAAGUACCUCGUUUUACCUGUGGGAUAAAAGAACAUGAUAAAGAACAACAUCCUCGUACCAAACCAGAGUAGAAAAAAGAACAGUCUUUCAGAUGUAGCGAGAGAUCAGAGAGAAAGUAAAUAGUAUAGUUAUUAACUAAGAAUGUCUUGUGUUGUUGUGUUGGGGGUACUCACUUGAACUACACGUAACUCAUUCGUUUUGUAACUUUAUAACAUACACGUAUUACACGUCAUGGUCAUGCUAUCAGGAGUUUCUUCUUCAAUUACCAAAAUACCACUACCUCAUUUUCCCUAUAGAAUAGAAAAUCAUGCAAAGAUCUAUUUCCAUCAAUGUUUCUUCUUGCGACCAAUUCUCACUGUUUUGCACCUCAUGCAAUUAAUCACUUACAAAUAUAAGGUAUAUACGGUGACAUUUAGUUUGAAUCAAUUCAAAACAGUUUUCAUAGCUACAAAUAUUAUAUUUUAUAACGUUUUCCCUUGACAAAACACCGAUAUAUAAUACCUUAGGGUGCCAUGUUUUUAUUUUUAUUUUUAAAAUGAAUAAACUAUUUUCUGGAUUUUUUUUUAAAAAAUUAAGAAGUAAACUGAUUCAGAUUAUUCCAACAAUUUCAGUUUAUAUUUCGAAUUACUUUAGCCAUCAUUUUUUUCUAGAAAAUUGAGGGAUAAAUUAAUUUAAAGUUAGAAAUUACGAAUCACAAUAACUUCAAUUUAUGUUUUUAAUCCAAAAAUAAUUCAUUUUUCACCUUAAUUUUGUUUACCAACUGAAGUGAAAAUAUAUAUUUACUCUGACACUAAGGUGUUAAAUUUAAAAACAUGACACAUUCUAUAACUCUUUACCGCAUAUUCAUAUAAUUAAAUUCACCGUUGGAUUGAAAACUAUUAUCAUAUAGAUCAUGUCUAUAAAAUUUAAUAUCAAUCGAAAAUGGUUGGAAUUAAACCCAAAACUUUGAGUAAUUCUGAGUCAAUCUUGAUGAAUAAGAUUCAAUCAACCGAUCAAAUUCUCUCUUAUUCUUCACUCUUCGCUCAAGUGAAUCAACCAACAUUGGUUGCAAAAUUGCAUCGCUGCACAAUGAUGAUGAAAACAAGAAAAGAGAAUUGAAUUGGGGAAGAAAGGGAAUUAUGGUAUUAUCGAAGUAGGGGAAGAAGAAGAAGAAGAAUUUCUGCAGAGUAACUAUUUGCUCUUAAAUUGAGAUUUAUUCAACUUGUGCAACUGCACUUCUGUUGUGAUCUCUUACAAUCAAUAAGGGUUACUCCCUAUUUAUAGAUUUUGGGUUUGUUUGUUUCUCAAGCAAGACCCAAAACUAACCUAACAAACUCAGCUAAAUAAACAAAUAAAGUUAAGUCUAACAUAACUAUUGAAAUUCUAGUUAUCAGACUUUGGAUGUCACACGGGUUGUUAUGACAUCCAAUUCUGCACAGACAGGAAUUAUGCAGAACUUAAAAGUAAGUGCAGUAAAUAACACAAGUAAUUGUUUACCCAGUUCAGUCCAACAUGACCUACAUCUGGGGGCUACCAAGCCAGGGAGGAAAUCCACUAUUAGUAGUAUCAAUUCAAAGCUAAACUCACCCGUUUACAACUUAUCACUUAAUCCCUACCCAAUGCAAUUUCAAUCUUACACUAAGAUCAGAGUUCCUACUCACUCCCCCUCAAUCACCUCAGUGAUUUUAAAGACACUUUGAAGUCACACUUCAAAAACAACUCUUGAUUAUGCUUCACAGCUUAAAUCAAGAUACACAGCACUCACGCUUAAAAGCUUUGAGUGACACAACACUUACAACUCAAUGAACACCCUAUGCCAAAGCAAUCAUCUACUUGAUAAUGGCUUGGCUUACAAGAUACGUCUAAUACAAGACUCACAAAAUACAGCAGUGAAGUAUGAUGGACACACUAACUCUUCACGCUUCAAAAUCCCCGAAACUGAAUGAAGGAAUGCCUUCCUUUUUAUAUUGCAGCACCUGGGCUUUUGCACCUGUAUUUUCCUGAAUUUUAGGUCACACAAGUUCCCUCAAAUUCAACAUUUAGGUUGCUAACAAAUAGGCUAUUUGUUAGGUUCAUUGAAUGUAGCUUGGUUGUUGAUUUCCUGGAUUUUCUCUCAGCUGUUGAAUCCCUAAAGAAUAGCCUGAGAAAAAGCUGAAACAGAAAACUGAACAACCUACAAUUUAGCAUAUGCUGUCAGGCAUGAAUGUCACGACAUUCAGCUUGACAUCAAGGUCCAUAUGCUGAGUCUGUUUUUCCAGAAAACAGACUGUACAAAUUUGCUGACCUGUACAUGAUCAAAAUGACCAUACUACAGUAACAGCUUACAUUAAUAAAUGUCAAAGUGUCCAACUUAACAUUUACACAAUUGGCCUUAAGUUAGUUCUGUUAUUCUCUUGAAGAACAAACUAAGUUAUAUGCUGAAGUAUAGCAGAACACCACUCUGCCUAAUCUUCAGUAGCUGCUGUCAAUGAUGAAUGUCACAACAUCCAGUUUGACAUUCAGUCAGUAGGCCUUAUGCCAGGUCUGGUUCUUCCUUGAUAACCAGACUGCAAAUGAAUACUAAGUUCUAACAGAACUUCUGUUCCUUAGUAUCUGUUGACAGGUAUGAAUGUCACAGCAUUCAAUAAUCCUGUGUUAGCUAGUCCUGCAGUAACUACAAUGUAGUCACACAUACAUGUCAUGACAUCAGUCAAGACAUUAGUGUUUUACCAUAUAAUGCAGCCAAUUAAACACCUACAAACUCCCCCUUUGGCAAAUUUUUGGCUAAAACACUUUGAUCCCCAUAACAGAGUUCAUAGCAGCGGAAUAAUACUAGCUAAUACACUCAGAGUGGCAGCACACUCACACACAUGGAAGUUAAAUAAAAACUUCGCAUAGCAGCACACACAUAUUAGAAGUUGCACCUAAACUUCAACAUCAGCUGCAGGGGGGGGGGGAAGUUAAAUAAAAACUUCACACACAUAUCAGCAUACACACAGAGGCAUACAACAGCAUACACACAGAAGCUAAAUACACACUUCAUCACACAGCAGCUGUAGUAGGGGAAAACUUCAAUCUGUCAUGAAUGGGAACCUGUUUUAAUAAAGUUUAACAAUGUAAACUUCUGUUGUCCUGGGGUAUCACUUGUCACUCCCCCUUUUUGUCAAAAAUGUUGCCAAAGCAACACUUUAAUUUACAGAUCCACAAAUAGUAAUUUGAAUUACACACAUGACAGAAAAAAACACAAAAGAAGUGAUUAAUCCUCAGCCUCAUCAUCAGCCUCCUCAUCAUCCUGUUCUUCAGAGCUGGCCUCUUCCUCCUCCUCAGCCAUUUGCCCUUCAGCUCCAUCCGUGUCCUCAGCAGUAGACUCCAGCUGCAAGAUGAGCUGUUCCAGUGCAUGCUUUCUAGCUCCCAGCUCUUUGCAGGUCUCUUUGAGAACUGUAAUAACAUCAGCUUUGUCUGGUUGGUUGCCAGCUUUGGAAGUCUCUCCCGAUGUCAAGACAAUGUCAGGGACAUGCUUGCCCAGGAACAGUUUGUAGCUGAAGGCCAAUGGACUCUCUCUUCUUUUCACGAAGUCAUUAUCUGUCAGGAUGUGUGGAAAUUGAUUCAGCACAAUUCCACAUAUGAGAGAUGGAAAGGCAAUGGGUCCCUUCACACUAAAGCUCCCAGCAUGCUUCAUUGUCUGAUCAAAUAUGUAAGCACCAUAGUUCACCCUUGCCUUGGUUCCCACUGCAUAGAUGAACUUCCCUAAUGCCACAGACACAGUUGACUUGUGGUUAGUGGGGACCCAGUUGGCUGCUCCAACUUUGUGUAGCAUUGCAUACUUGACACUUAGUUGGCUGGCUACUAGCUUCCCUUUGAGAGGCCACAUUCGGACUUGCUUGGCUGUGAUGACUUGACAGACUGUAUUGUCAGUCACUUCAAGCUCAGGUUGCUCUUCAUCCGCUCUUCCCAGAUACUGAUUUAUCACAGAGGGGGAAAAGGUCACACAUUUUCCACGCACAUAGACCUUUCGAAAUUCCUUGGAUCUCCCAUCAGCACACUCCUCUGACAGAUUUACAAUAAACUCCUUCACUAAGGUCUCAUAGCACUUAGGAAGUUGUGACACAGUUCUUAUCAAACCUGCCUCCUUGAUGAGAUCCACAAUCUCUUUACAGUCCAAUGCAUUCUGUGCCAGUUCUCUUUCCAAUGCCAGCCUCUUGUGGUAUACAUACUUCCACCUGUUAACACUGGAGGCAAAGUGGAAGGACACAUUGUCAAUGGGAACUUCUGGGACACUGGUUGCCAACCUACUGGAAGAGGGUUUCUUCCUGGACAUGGAUGCUGUGACAUCACAUGGGGCAUCAGAUUCAGACUCAACCACCACAGCUUUGGUCUUCAACUUCUUAGGCACCUCUUUGCUCCAAGCUUUUGUAGGACCAUAGCUUUUCCUCUUGUGUGUACUCUCUGACUCUGGUUGCUUUUGAGGAUUUGUUACACCAACCUCCUUGGAGGGGGACUUCAGCUCCACAACCUUUUUCUCCCUUCUGGUCCUGACUCUCUUGGCUAUCCUAGGGACAACUGUAGCCAGAAGUUCAUUGUCUGAGAGCUCUUCCACGUUAAUCGUCUCAGCCCUAGGAUUGUCCUCAACACUUUGAGUAACAUUGGCCUUCUCACUUCUCACUUUGCCUGAGGGUUUUUCAACCUUUGAUCCCUCAUGAGCAUCUGGUUGCUCAACAUUGUCAGUGACAUUUUUCCUCAACACAACAGCUUUAUCUUGACAUGCAGCAAUGUCAGGAAUGAUUGUGUUCAAGGGAACAGAAACCCCAGGAACAUCUCGAUUGCCAGAUAGUAUCUGAGUGACGAUAGUUGCAAUGGAGUUAUGUACAUACCUUGACCCUUCCCUUGUGUGUUCAUCAAGAGCGAUUUCUGAUGAAAACCCGGUGACCGUUUCCUUAGGUCUUCUUGCAUGGGACGAAGUUGCUGCGUCAACAACUGGAUCCUCCCGGGUAGGGUGGUAAGACUCGGUGCUGAGAGAAUCAGACAUGGUGGUGUACGAGGAGGUAUCGGAUUGACGAGCCAUGCUGAAAAUCUGAGAGGGAAGAUGAAUCGUUUCUUUGGACGAGGGUUUGCACGAGUGGAGAAUGAAACGACUGAAUGUGAAACGCUUUAUGCAAGAGUAAGGUCUAUUAGAUUUUGACCACUCAGAGCCCACUAUUUGUUGUUUAAUAAUUUGACUUAUUAAACAGUAGCUAACUAACUUCAUUAGUUGCUAUAACUUUUCAGACGCACGCAUUCCCUUUUUGUCCUUACUGUACAAUGUCAUGACAUUCUGGGUGACAUUGUACUCUGUCUGCAUCAGGUUCCUCCAAACUAGAGGUGACCACCUGCCUCCACAAGCAAGGUACUGAGUUUCUGCAGACGUCAAUAACACACACCUCUGUCUAUCCCUUGCUGUCAUAUCAGUUGUAUGAUGACCAAUGGGAACCAAGGGCUCAUUACUUUUGAUCAGACACUUUCCACAGUCUGUCCUUUUAUCUAAAGACAGAUAUGAGACUCUUCUCAUAGCUCCCUUGGAAAUGCUCUUCUUCACUCCUUUUACCUGAAGGGGAUCAAGUCUUCCAUGUCCCAGCUUCCCUUCCUGAUCUCCCUUGGCCAAAGGACACUUGGGAAGGUUGAUAGAGUCUUUAGAUUUCCAUAGAUAGCAAUUAUCUUUGGAUCUAUCUCCUCUCAUCACUUCUUGAUUGCACCCAUUCAACACCACACAUCCUCCCUUGGUAAAUUCCACCUUGUAUCCUUGGUCACACAGCUGGCUUAUGCUUAUGAGGUUCACAGUUAGUCCUUUUACUAACAAUACAUCACUCAAUUUUGGAGCUUCUGGACAGUCCAGCUUCCCAACACCCAUGACUUCUCUUUUAGUUCCAUCACUUAAUGUCACAGACUUGGUGUUAGAGGGAUGUAGAUUCACCACUAGGUAGUUCAUCCCAGUCAUAUGCCUUGAGCAGCCACUAUCAAGGUACCAAUCUUGUCUGAUAUGUCCCCUUGAAGAAGUGUGAGCAAGGUUAGCAACACACUGUUGAUUCUCAGGCGAGAAGUGAAUCUUAGAUGCCAGCUGCUUAGGAUUGACCUGAGGUGUCUGCUUAGCCGCCCAUGUUUGUUUCUUAAUGGGGACAUUAUGCGUAGACACCUUUUUCUUAGGCCUACCUUGAGGGGUCUGGUUUGGGUAACCAUGCAGCCUAUAGCAGAAUGGUUUUAUGUGACCGAAUCUACCACAGUAAUGACAUUUCCAUCUCUUGAAUUUCUUCUUCUGAUGAUUGUUCAUUCUGGUUCCUCGAUGUUGUGACUUUGGAUGAGACUUCCCUUUGGAUUUCUGAACUUUAGCCUUUGGGCGUUUGCGUUCAGUUGAGGAUCUUUUCCCAAAGCCUAAACCAGAUGUGUUUCCAGACUUCUGUCCUGUCUUCAGGAUUUCUUCCAAGGUGUCAGAUCCCUUAUUCAACAUCUUGAUGGAUUUGGUCAUUUGGUCUAGCUUAGAGAUCAGCAACGAAAUCUCACCCUUCAGACCCUCUAUGACUUUCAGCUGCUCUAGUUUCUCAGCUUCUAGUUCUUUGAUGAGUUUCUUAUGCUUUUCUCCUUGGAUGCAAACUUCUGCACUUUUAACACAUAAUUCUUUAUAUGAGGCAGCAAGCUCAUCCAAUGUGAGUUCAUCUCCACUUGAGUUAUCCUCUGAGGCACAAACACUGGUUAGAGCAGUGACUUGUUUGGCCGAUUCUCCUUCAGAUUCACUCUCAGUGUCUUCUUCUGACCAGGUGACAGAUAGCCCUUUCCUUUGCCUCAUGAGAAGGGUAGGGCAGUCAGCCUUACUAUGACCAUAUCCUUCACAUCCAUGGCACUGGAUUCCCUUGCCUUGGUUGGCCUUUUCUUCAUGAGUUGAUCUUUUCUUUAUGUCAGACGGGACGUUCUUGACAUUAGAUCUACCCUGUUGAUCAAAUUUCUUUAUGAGCUUGUUGAACUGUCUCCCAAGCAUGGCUAAGGCUUCUGAUAUACUUUCAUCACCUCCAGUAUAUCCUUCUUCUGACUCCUCUUCAGCAUUAGAUAUAAAGGCUAUGCUUUUCUUCUUCUCAGCAUACUCACCUAAGCCCAUUUCAAAGGUUUGGAGAGAACCAAUGAGCUCAUCUACCUUCAUAUUGCUGAUGUCCUGAGCCUCCUCUAUGGCUGUGACCUUCAUAGCAAACCUCUUAGGCAAGGACCUGAGAAUCUUUCUUACAAGUUUCUCUUCAGUCAUUUUCUCACCUAGUCCACCAGAGGUGUUUGCAAUUUCAAGAAUAUUCAUGUGAAAGUCAUGAAUAGUCUCAUCCUCUUUCAUCCUCAGAUUUUCAAACUUGGUUGUCAACAUCUGAAGUUUGGACAUCUUCACCUUGGAAGUACCUUCAUGAGUUACCUUGAGGGUAUCCCAAACUUCCUUAGCUAGUUCACAAUGGUGCACCAGCCUGAAGAUGUUCUUAGUGAUUCCAUUGAACAGUGCAUUCAAGGCUUUGGAGUUUCCAAGAGCUAAUGCCUCUUGUUCCUUGUCCCAAUCUUCUUCAGGAAUCUGCACACUGACUCCAUCUUCAUCAGUCCUCGUUGGAUGUUCCCAUCCCUUGUUGACAGCUCUCCAGACUUUGCUGUCUAGAGACCUUAAGAAGGCUAUCAUACGAGGCUUCCAGUCAUCAUAAUUAGAUCCAUCCAACAUGGGUGGUCUGUUUGAGUGUCCUAAAUCCUUGUCCAUGGUACUAGAAAGUAACUUCCCUAGAUCUCACCCAGAACUUCACAGGCAGGGUGCCUGCUCUGAUACCAAUUGAAAUUCUAGUUAUCAGACUUUGGAUGUCACACUGGUUGUUAUGACAUCCAAUUCUGCACAGACAGGGAUUAUGCAGAACUUAACAGUAAGUGCAGUAAAUAACACAAGUAAUUGUUCACCCAGUUCAGUCCAACAUGACCUACAUCUGGGGGCUACCAAGCCAGGGAGGAAAUCCACUAUUAGUAGUAUCAAUUCAAAGCUAAACUCACCCGUUUACAACUUAUCACUUAAUCCCUACCCAAUGCAAUUUCAAUCUUACCCUAAGAUCAGAGUUCCUACUCACUCCCCCUCAAUCACCUCAGUGAUAUUAAAGACACUUUGAAGUCACACUUCAAAAACAACUCUUGAUUAUGCUUCACAGCUUAAAUCAAGAUACACAGCACUCACGCUUAAAAGCUUUGAGUGACACAACACUUACAACUCAAUGAACACCCUAUGCCAAAGCAAUCAUCUACUUGAUAAUGGCUUGGCUUACAAGAUACGUCUAAUACUAGACUCACAAAAUACAGCAGUGAAGUAUGAUGGACACACUAAAUCUUCACGCCUCAAAAUCCCCGAAACUGAAUGAAGGAAUGCCUUCCUUUUUAUAUUGCAGCACCUGGGCUUUUGCACCUGUAUUUUCCUGAAUUUUAGGUCACACAAGUUCCCACAAAUUCAACAUUUAGGUUACUAACAAAUAGGCUAUUUGUUAGGUUCAUUGAAUGUAGCUUGGUUGUUGAUUUCCUGGAUUUUCUCUCAGCUGUUGAAUCCCUGAAGAAUAGCCUGAGAAAAAGCUGAAACAGAAAACUGAACAACCUACAAUAUAGCAUAUGCUGUCAGGAAUGAAUGUCACGACAUUCAGCUUGACAUCAAGGUCCAUAUGCUGAGUCUGUUUUUCCAGAAAACAGACUGUACAAUUUUGCUGACCUGUACAUGAUCAAAAUGACCAUACUACAGUAACAGCUUACAUUAAUAAAUGUUAAAGUGUCCAACUUAACAUUUACACAUUUGGCCUUAAGUUAGUUCUGUUAUUCUCUUGAAGAACAAACUAAGUUACAUGCUGAAGUAUAGCAGAACACCACUCUGUCUAAUGUUCAGUAGCUGCUGUCAGUGAUGAAUGUCAUAACAUCCAAUUUGACAUUCAGUCAGUAGGCCUUAUGCUAGGUCUGGUCUUUCCUUGAUAACCAGACUGGAAAUAAAUACUAAGUUCUAACAGAACACCAGCUGUUCUAUUUCUUAGUAUCUGUUGACAGGUAUGAAUGUCACAGCAUCCAGUUUGACAUUCAAUAAAUCCUGUGUUAGCUAAUCCUGCAGUAACUACUCAAGUGUGUCAUGACAUCAGUCAAGACAUCAGAGUACAGUUAGAUAUUCUAACCUACAAUGUAGUCACAUAUACAAACUAUGUCAUGACAUCAGUCAAGACAUUUGUAACCAGCUAGUGUUUUACCAUAUAAUGCAGCCAAUUAAACACCUACAACUAUCGAUAUACUCUUCGAAAUUUUGACACCUAGAUGAUUCGACACUUCCUUUCUUCUGUCGAGCAACCUGCUCCGACACAAGGAAUUACAAUUCAAUACACCACCUAAUUCAUUGUGUCUAAGCUAUCUACAUUCAUCAUAUACCUUAACUUCUUAAACACUUCGACCUGCACUCCCUUCGUCGUGAUGUCUGCAAUCUGAUUCUCAGUUCUGCAACAUUCCAAGUUCAGGUCCGCUUUUGCUACCUGCUCUUGAAGAUAAUUGAACCUCACUUCGAUGUGCUUACUUCGUCCACACGCUAUCGGAUUCUUCGCCAGAUUAUAGCAGACAUAUUGUCAAUCUUCAUGGUAAUUGCUUCAUGAUUCUUCCCUGUAAUCUCUUCGACCAGAUUCACCAUCCACGUUGCUUAACAUGCACAAGAAGAAGCAUAUAUGUACUCUGGUUCACAUGAAGAAAAUGCUAUUACUGGUUCCUUUCUCGAAAUCCAAGCAACUAGUGCACCCCAUAACAUAAACACAUAGCCAACCGUGGAUUUUCUAUCCUCAGCAUCACUACACCAACUUGAAUCGGUGUAACCAAUUAACUUGCAUUCUUUUCCUUCAUCAGUUGCAUGAAACAAAACUCCAUUGUCGAGAGUUGCUUUCCUUAGUAUCCCAUUUGUCGCUGCUAGGUGUGAUACCUCUGGCUUCUACAUGAAUCUACUCACCAUACCUACACUAUAUGCUAGAUCAAGCCUUGUGUGACAAAGAUAUCGAAGUGAUCCAAUGAGUCUUUUGUACUGCGUUGGAUCGAUAUCAUAUUCAUAUGUGUCUUUCGACCGUUGUAAUCUGGGCUCAGCUGGAGUCGAAGUUGGGUUGCAAUCUUGCAUCUCAAAUCUUUUGAGUAUUUCACAUUCAUAUCUUCUUUGGUGCAUCAUCAAGCCUCUUCCACUCUUUUAGAAUUUGAUGCCAAGGAAAUAUGAGAGAUUUCCCAAGUAUGACAUUUCAAACUCCUCACUUAGGUCAUGUUUGAAAUCUUCGAUCUUCUUCUUGCAACUUUCUAUUAUCAACAAGUCAUCGACAUAGAGAUAUAGUAUAAACAAUUCACUAUUUCUUCUUCUUACAUAUACUCCAUACUCAAUUGCGCACUUCACAAAUUCUUUCUCCCUUAGAAAACUAUAUAUCUUCUUGUUCCAAGCUCUUGGAGCUUGCUUAAGUCCAUAUAGGGAUUUAUGCAACCCGUAUACCUUUCUUUCUCCGCCUUGUUUCACACACCAAGCUGGUUGUGCAACAUAUACUUCUUCAUCUAAGGGGCCAUUAAGGAACUCACAUUUCACAUCCAUCUGACAUGUGUGUCAGUUGUUCAUAUUUGUUAAACAAUAACCAACCUGAUUGUUUCGAUCCUAGCAACAGGUGCAAAAACUUUUUCUAAGUCGAUCCCUUCCUUCUGAAGAAAUCCUUUCGCUACAAGUCUUCCCUUGUUUCGAGAUACUUCACCUUUGGGAUUGAAAUUCACCUUGUAUACCCACUUCACAUUGAUUUCCUUCUUUCCUUGAGGCAAUUCGAUAAGUAACCAGGUGUUGUUCUCUUCGAUGAACUUCAGUUCCUCAUUCAUUACUUUCACCCACUUUGAAUCCUUCAAUGCCUCAACUAUAUUGACUGGUUCCACAUAUGCAUAGAAAUCAUAGUGUACUAGCCCACCUUCAUCAUCGGCCAUAUCAUCUUAUGUAAUUACACAUUCUUGCAACCUUGCAGGCAUGUGUCUUAUUUUGUGAGGUCUGCUUGUGUUUGCUUGACCUCUGACUUCUUCUUGUCGAACUUCUCUUUUGUCUUCACUUGCUGGUUCUUCACAUAAGAUUCUCACUAGAUCCUUCUUUACAUUUUCAGUCCAAUCCAAUUCCUUAAGCUCAUAUAUUAUCAUGUCCCUGUUGAUCACUAUUUGCUUAUUCACUGGGUUGAACAACUUGUAACCUCCAGUCGAAUGAUAUCCUAUUAGGAUCAUCUGACUCGACUUAUCAUCAAGUUUUCUUCUCAACUGAUAUGGUAUAUGUCUGUGUGAUAUAGAUCCAAAUACCUUCAGAUGACUUAAUCUAGGCUUGACAACAUACCAACAUUUUUCUGGCGUAAUUCCUUCUAGCUUCUUCGUCGGACAUCUCUUCAAAAUAUAUGUUGAUAUCGACACAACUUCUCCCCAUAAUUCUUUGAGUAGAUGCUUGUCUUUCAACAUACUUCUCAUUAUGUUCAUGAUGGUCCUAUUCUUCCUUUCUACCGUUCCAUUCUGCACAAUCCCUUCUUUCUCACAUAACUUGUCGAAGUCUUUCGACACAUACUCUCCACCACCAUCGGUCCUCAGAAUCUUGAGUUUUCGACCACUUUGUCUUUCGACCAUAGAUUUAAACUUGGCAAAUACCUCAAUCACUUCACUUUUCUUCUUGAUUAGGUAAGUACACAGUUUUCUACUGAAAUCAUCUAUGAAUGUGACAAAGUAUAUGUUGUCGCUACGCGAAAAAUACAAAGAGUUUCCAUCGAACUUUAUUUAUUCCAUAGGAAAGGGAAAAUAUCGAUAAAACCCCUGGAAGGUGAAGAAAAUUGUCUCGCAACCAAAUUCGGGUUCGAAAGUCGGUUAUGCAAUGGGAAGGUAGAAGUACCCCUCACAUAUGUCGUGCUCGAUGGGAACCAUCUUGGUUGUCUAUGCACGAAUGGAUGUCGUUGUCUAAAGGUUACUUGCUAAAAGGGAAAAGGGAUGGUUUUUUUAUUGGUGUGCUCACCAAGGAUUGGGGCCUUCUUGCCUACGUAUCCUCAUCAUGAAAUGAAGAAUUAGAGCUCCAUAGUUCAGAGUAGAAAAUGAGUGUUUGUUGGUUGAUUUUAUACCUUAAAAAGGAUUUUGGGAAUGAUCCCCUAAGGCGCAAAAAAGAGUUUGAUAAGUUUAUGUUGUUUUUAGGGUUUUGAAAAGAAAAUUGUUUUUGAUUUGAAUCGCACUAAAGACUAUGAGUGGAGACGAAUACCUCAAACAACCAAGCCAAGCGCCUUGUGUUCAAAAUAUUCAGAAUGAGGGUAGGAAAGCUCCAUUCUUACUCCUUCUUCAUUACUUAAGGCUUGUGGCGCGUAAUUCUAAUCGUAUUUUAAAGUGUUUUUUAGUUUAUUUAAGAAAGUGUCACUUGACAUUGGAUUAAGGGUUUAUUAUUGCUUUGAAAUGGUGAGGUUGAUCCUAGUUCCUAAGGGUUACUAACAAGCAAUGCCAAAAGAAAGCAAGGAGGAAAAAGUACACCAAAAUGGGGGAGGGAUACUUGAAAAACUACAAGGGAUAUUGAUGCAAGAAAUAAAAGGUCUCGUUGUAAGGUAUCCCAAGAGAAAGCCAUGUGUGUGCAAAAUGUUCUAAGCUAAACAAUGGAUAAUGGAAUCAAGAUUACAUGUCUCCUUUUUCCUUAGGGUAGUGCCAUGAAUGCCACUCUUGCAAUUAAAGAUUACAAGUCCAUGAUGAAACUCCAAGUCAAGCAUAGGUCAAUCACAAUGUCUAAUGGUCCAUUACAAGUCCUCAAUGUCUCAAUAUUAAAUAUCAAGCAUCACAUAUUUUUGGUCUUUUGCAUUUUAUCAUGUUUUUUGUUCUUUUUAUUUUGAUUAUACAACAAGAAAUAAAAAUACAAAAUAGAGAAGAUAAAAUGAUUGCACCAGUUUCCAGGUUAGAGUCUAUUUGUCUCUUAAUUUCUUUUGUUGUUAAUCAUAACAUCAUUUUGUAUCAGAUGGAUGUUAAGAGUGCAUUUCUGAAUAGUUACAUAACUGAAGAAGUGGAUGUAUACGAACCUCCUGGUUUUGAAAAUCAUAAGAACCCAUAUUUUGUUUUCAGACUUAACAAAUUUUUGUAUGGUCUGAAACAAGCUCCCAGAGCAUGGUAUGAAAGACUAAGCAAUUUUCUUUUAGAAAAAUAUUUUACUAUAGGGAAGGUUGAUACAACUUUGUUUUGUAAAUCCUUCAAAAAUGAUAUUCUUGUUGUUCAAAUUUAUGUGGAUGAUAUCAUAUUUGGUUCUUCUAAUGAUACUUUGUUCAAGGAAUUUGCUAAGUCUAUGCAAGAAGAAUUAUAAAUAAGGCUGAUAUGAGAACUCAAGUUCUUUCAGGGAAUCCAUAUUAAUCAAAGUCCAUAAGGGACAUAUAUCCAUCCGAAGUAUACUAAAGAACUUCUGAAGAAGUUCGACAUGUCAGAAUGCAUGAUAGGAAAGAAUCCUAUGCAUCCUACAUGUAUCCUUGAGAAGGAUAAGGUAAGCGCAAAGAUAGAGAAAAAGGUAUACAAAGGUAUGAUUGGUUCUCUCUUAUACUUAACUACUUAUAGACCUUACAUUGUAUUUAGUGUUUGUUUGUGUGCUCGUUUUUAAUCAGAUCCUAGAGAAUCCCACUUAAUAGCUAUUAAGAGGAUUUGCAGUUAUCUGAAAGGUACUAUUAAACUUGGCUUGUGUUAUAGAAAAUAAAGAGUACAAGCUAGUGGGUUAUUAUGAUGUUGAUUACGCUGGAGAUAAACUUGAAAGAAAAAGCACUUCUGGAAGUUGUUAGUUUAUGGGAAACAAUUUCAUCUCAUGGUCCAGCAAGAGAUAAUCAACCAUAACACUAUCAAUUGCUGAAGCUAGAUACAUUACGACUUCUAGAUACAUCACUCAUAUGCUCUAGAUGAAAAGUCAGCUAGAAUAUUUCCAGAUAUAUGAGAGUAAUAUUCUUAUUCUCUGUGAUAAUACUUCUGGUAUUUGUUUAUCUGAGAAUCUCAUUUUACAUUCUAUAGCUAAACAUAUUAAGAUUAAACAUCAUUUUAUACGUGACUAUGAUUAGAAGGUAAUUUUUUAAACUUAAAAUUUAUUGAUACAUACAAUCAAUGGGAUGAUAUCUUUACAAAACCCCUUGCUGAAGAUAGGUUUGUUUUCAUUCUGAAGAAUUUAAAAAUCGAUAUAUGUCCAUAAUGAAAAAAAAAAUCAUCUCAGAAUGUUUAAGUUCUCAGAAUGGUUCAUUGAGACUCUGAGAUCUAUUGACUCUAAAUAAUUGAGUCUUCUGAAGUGAGAAGGUUUCAUGAGUUCAAAAGUAUCCAGUCAUAACCUCUUUGAUUAAACAUUCUAUCUUCUGAAUACUUAAUAGUUAUUGCAUUAAUUGGUUGUCAAUCCGUCUUGGUUAGUGGAUCAGUUUUAAAGAUAGUUAUCAUAGAAAACUGAAACGCUUCUAAACAGCUGAGUGACACAUUGGGUGAAGAGAUUUCUUGGGAUUAGGUAAAAUCUCUCUAUGCAUUCCCCUUUGUCUGAAUUCCUCACCGUUCAAGAUUUUGUCAUGAUUGCAAAACCUUUAUAAAACCCAAUUCACUUACAUUUCACGCACUUACGCUACAUUUCUCCUACGCUUUCUCUCUUUCAACCAAAAAUUUCUCUACAACCCUAAACCUUGUUCUUCAUCAUCAUGGUUGAAUCUCUCCAACAAGUUCAAUAAUCUACACAAGCUUCUCAAGAACAACAACAACCUCAACAACAAUAUCAUAUGAAAGAAAGAAUUUAGGAGCUUACUCUUUCUACUCCAGUCACGCAGUUAGAAGUUCUUUGUGAGCUUCUUGUUGAUUUUGAAAAUCUCAAGGUUAGUGGUUUUGAUUUGACUGAAGGAGUUAAGACUCGUAGAUGGAAAGGUUACGUUGAAAGUCUCAAAGGACCCAUGUAUACUAAUUUAGUGUAGAAAUUAUGGAUUUUUGCUACUACCACGAAUCUUCAUAUCACUUUGUUCGUGUUAGGGCACAAAAUCUCUAUUUCUCAGAAGUCAAUAGCUAAACUUAUCAGCCACGGUGGCUCUAGGAAGACAUGCUUUGAGAUGCCUGCUGAGAAGGAAAGAAUGGAUGAAAUUGCUACAACUAUUUUCCAGGAUGGGAAGAACUUCUCCAAUGCCAAGAAUCUUCAUAAACAUGUUAUGGUUUGGUUAAAGUUUAUUCUAGGGUGCAUUCAUCAUAGACCCUUAACAAAUUCUUCUGACUACAUCAAUACAUAUCAGAAGUACAUGUUGUAUUAUCUAUCAUCUAGGAGAAAGAUGAUUUUUCCAUCCAUAAUCUUCAAGUAUCUGAGGGAACCGGUCAAAGAAAUAAGAAAUGGUUCACUAAAGCCCAAAAAGUGGAUACCUCUGGGAAGAUUAAUCUCUGAUAUUUUGUUUGAAAGCAAGUUGAUUCAGACGUUGAUGGAAGUUGGUUUAUCAAAGGAAGUGGAAUUUGAUGUUGGUAAGACCUUCAAUGGAAGGAACUUAAAUAACAUGUCCUUGGUCACAAGAGUGUCAUACCCCAAAAUUUACCCUAGCCUAUACAAUCUUCAUAUGAUCCAUGAUCCUACUACACAUGCAUGCAUUCAAUGUUUCAUCAUCAUAAUCUCAUUAAACAUUCAUAAUCAAAGACAUAUUACACGUACUCGAGGCAUAAUGUUCACACCUGAGAAGAAACUGGGGUUUUCCGAUUAAAGUUGCAAAGAAAAUGUGUAACAAAGCAAAACAUUCAUUUUUUGGUCUAUGUAACCGAUUACCCAAUUCUUGGUAACCAAUUACACUCCUUUUAAAACAGGUAUCCAGACCAUUUUUGUCCUGUGUAACCGGUUACCCAAAUCCUGGUAACCAGUUACACCUGCGUAACGAAGGCUCCCCAGGCCAUUUUUAGCCUGUGUAACCGGUUAUCCAGAUCCUAGUAACCAGUUACACAACGCAGAACAACAUCAAUAACUUUUUUUUACUCCAAAUGAUCCCUUUUUUCACCCCACCUACCCACUUGUUUUCCCUAUAAACUAUUUUCCCCUCUUUAAGGACAUGCUUGCAGCCCCAAAAGUUCUGAAAAACAUCAAUUAAACCCUCUUCUUAAACCUAAACCAAAACAAAUUAUUCCCUCUCAAAAUCACCCCCACCAACUUUUUCCCUAUUUCAUUUUUUCCUCAAAUCUUCCAUUCUCUAACAUUAACAACUCAACCCUUUCAUUGAGUUUCAACCAUAAACACCUCCACUCCAAACCUUUUGCUUCAUAUUCAAGCUCAACACCACAACAAUUUAGUUUUUUUCCACAUUUUGGUAAUGAUUGUAGCUCAAACUCUUUAGCAUUUUGGUUCUAUUUUUGUGUUGGAAAUGGUUUGGUGUUCUUGGGUUGUUUUUUCAGAGAAUUUAGAGUCAAGUUUAAGACAAAUGAUCAAGUUUGGUUUAUACACUUUUUCUUGAAAUUUUUGUUCUUACUACUUUUUAUUCACUAUUUUCAAUCAAACUAUGUUAUUAUUAUCAUUUCCUAUUUAUUGUUUAUCCAUUGUUAUAUUUUUGUUGGUUGAUGAAAUCUAUUAGAUCAUGACGAUAGUUGUUUAUGAUUGGUAAAACCUUCAAUGUUUCAAACCUAUUAAUGAAUGGUCAAUGGAUCAUUCAUGAUACUUUGAGGCAUUGAUAAGUUGUCUCUAUUUCAACCAUACUUGAGUCAUUUGAUGUAUAGAUGAAACCAUAUUUGUGUAUACUAACUUUCUAAUCCAUUUACUUAUUGUGAUUCCGUUAACCACUAACUUUUAACAUUUAUAUUAUUGCAUUUUAUUUCUUUGCUAUUUAUUUGCUCAUAAUUUAUUUUAUUGUUCAUUUUAUUUUAAGUACUUUAUGUUUAUGUCUAUUACUAUUUAUUCAUAUACAAUUUAUAUUGUGCCAAUUUAUUUGUUUUCUUACCACCUUGUAUAAUCAAAAGAAAAAGUAAAAAAAAAACUUAUAAUCAUUUGAGUGAUAUAAUCUUCUAUUUGUCAAACUAUUGAUAGAUGAACUUGGGCAGUGGCGGAAUUGAGGGGGGACGUGGGAAGGCCACGGCCACCCCUCAACUUUUUAUUUUUUUUAAUUCAUAUAUAUUAAAUUAAUAAAACAUCCUUAUUUUAAAUUAAAAUUAAUUUUUAUUUUUUUCUUUUUCAUUCAAAGUUAGGUUAAAAUACAGAUAAGGUAAAAAGUUCCUACCUUUCCUUUCUUUCUCAUAUGGGUUUGCUACCGGCACCGGAAUCGGAACAGAUUAAAGUGAUCGGCAUCUAACAGGUAAAAAACUUUAUUAAUUCUUCUUUUAUAAAAAGUAACAAAUUAAAGUGAUUGCUUGAUUUGUGUUUUUGAUAUUUUUAGGGUUCUUCUUUCUUGAUGUGUUAAAAUAAUCUAUAUGAGGUUUAUUAAGCCAAUUCAUAACACUGUAAUUUACAAAUAUAGUUAUACACUGUAAUAAGGUUUAUUUAAUCAUUAUUGCUGCUAAUUUCUAAUAAUGAAGUUACCGGUAUUUGAAAACGGAUUAAAGUUGAUUAAUUAAGUUUAUUAAUUUUUUUCUCUUUUAAUUUUUAUGUUCUCUAAAUUGAUUUUUGGAUCUGAUAUGAAUGAGGUUUAUUAAGCCAAUUCAUAACACUGUAAUUUACAAAUAUAGUUAUACACUGUAAUAAGGUUUAUUUAAUCAUUGUUGCUGCUAAUUUCUAAUAGUGAAGUUACCGGUAUUUGAAAAUGGAUAAAAGUUGAUUAAUUAAGUUUAUUAAUUUUUUUCUCUUUUAAUUUUUAUGUUCUCUAAAUUGAUUUUUGGAUCUGAUAUGAUAUUAUAGGAAGAGUAAAGAUGAAUAAUAGGAAAAUUGAUUCUUUUUUUAAAAGGAAAGCAUGUCAAAUUGAAAGAGAAGAGAGAGAUGAAGAAAUUAUAAUCCCGACAUCCGAAUCUGAAACAGUUCUUGAGAAUCCAACAAUUGAAGAGCAUCAUGGUUUUGAAAAUUCUUUGGAAUGCGAUCUUGGAAAGCGUCCUCCGAUUUGGCAAUAUCCGCCAAAUCAAGUGGAUGCAAUACGAAGAGCUUAUCUAAAAUGGGGUCCAUAUCAAAUUCAUUUAGAAAACUAUCCUUUGUCCGGUAACAAGGAUUAUCCGAGAAGGUUUCAACAUACUUGGUUUAGCAUAUUUUCAUCAUGGUUAGAAUAUUCACCAUCUGAAGAUGCCGCAUAUUGCUUACCAUGUUACCUUUUUAGCAAAAAACUAAGUGGACGUGAUCACUUGUCUUUAUUUCUAUGGGUUUGAAGAUUGAAGAAAGUUAGGAAUGGAACAUUGUUCAUUUCUUGAAACACAUAGCUUGCUCACCAUACAACAAUGCAAUGAAAGCUUGUCAAGACUUGUUGAAUCAAGAUGGUCAUAUUAGAAAUGUUAUUCAAGUGCAAAGUUCAAGUCAAAGAAUGAAUAAUCGGUUACGACUAAAGACUUCAAUUGACACUGUUCGUUGGUUAACACUACAAGCUUGUGCUUUUAGGGGUCACGACGAAAGUAGCAAAUCAGAAAUCAAGGUAACUUUCUUGAGUUAUUGAAACUUUUAGCAUCCUACAAUGAUGAAGUUGCAAAAGUUAUGUUAGAAAAUGCUCCACAAAAUUGUAAGUAUACUUCACAUCAAAUUCAAAAAGAGCUCUUGCAAAUUCUUUCUAGUAGGGUGAAAAAGAGUAUUCGUGAGGAAGUUGGUGAUUCCAAAUUUUGUAUCAUCGUUGAUGAAGCUUGUGAUGAGUCAAAAAAGGAAUAAAUGGCUCUUGUAUUAAGAUUUGUUGAUAAAGUUGGUUUAAUACAAGAGAGAUUUUUUGAUGUGGCAUAUGUUAAAGACACCACAUCUUUAACUCUUAAGGAAGCAAUAUUGAAUAUAUUUUCGACGAACCUUGAAUGUUUCUACAUUCGUGGCAAGGGUAUGAUGGUGCUAGCAAUCACGAGAGGAGAAUGGAAUGGUUUACAAGCCCUCUUUAUGAAGGAUUGUUCCUUAUGCAUACUAUGUUCAUUGUUUGCUCAUCAAUUGCAACUUGCAUAGUUACAUCAUCAAGAGAAGUCAAACCUGUUCAUAAAUUUUUUGAGAAGCUGAUUUUGUUGUGAAUGUUGUUUGUUCUUUCUACAAAGCGUCAUGAUGAGUUACAAGCUGCUCAAUUAGAAGAAAUUGCUUAUUUGUUAGAAAUUGCUUUUUGUGAAAAGCAUGGUAUUGAGAUUCCUGAUCUUAAUGAUGUUCAUUCAACAACAAGAUUUGACGCUCCCGUCUUGAAGAGAUCAAGUCACAAUUCAACAUUACUUUAAAGUUGAAAUCUUUUUCACUACCAUUGACAAACUGUUACAAGAGUUGAAUAGCAGAUUCAGUGAGGCAGGCAAUGGAUUUGUUAACUCUUUCUUGUUCUUUAUCUCCUAAGGAUGGAUAUAAAGCUUUUAGCACUGAUACUAUUGUUCUUAGUUGAAAAAAUAUUAUCAUAUGGAUUUUAAGUGAUCAAGAGAAGAAUAAUUUGCAAUUUCAACUCCAACAUUUCUAUUUGGUUGCUCGUCAAGCAUCAAACUUGAAUAAUUUAUCAACUAUUCAAGAACUAUGUUCAUGUUUGGUUGCAUCUGGACAAGCUGAAACUUACUUCUUGAUUGAUAGACUACUUCGUCUUAUCAUGAUUCUUCCCGUUUCUACGGUCACAACUGAGAGGUCUUUUUCAGCAAUGAAAAUUAUUAAGAGUAAGUUGAGAAACAAGAUGGAUGAUGGGUUUCUUGGAGAUAGCAUGACAUUAUAUAUUGAAUGGGAGAUUAGUGCAAGCAUUAGUUCAGAGUCAAUUAUUGACGAUUUCAAGUCACUCGAAACGCAUAAAGCAUUACUUUAAGGUAGUUUUAAGUCACGUAAUUUAAAUUUUUAGUAAUUAACUUUGUAUUUAUUUUAACUUUAAUGUUUUAUUUAAAAUACUAUUUACAUUUUAUUUAUAAUCUUAAUUUUACGUUAGGGGUCAUCCCAAAUUUUUUUAUCUGGCUCCGCCACUUAACUUGGGGUUGUAUAACUUUCAUUGUUACAAAUCUAUUGUUAGAUGAUUAUUAAUCAUCUUUAAUACUUUGCAUCAAUGAUAAAUUAUCCCUUGAUGCGCCAUAUUUUGAGUAUUUUGACAUAUGGAUAGAUAUUCCUCAAACGUUUAUUUUUGCACAUAUUACUAACCACUAAUUAUACUUCACUAACUUUGUUUACUAUUAACCUUUGUUAUUGUGAUUUCGUUACCAUUGACUUGAGGUUUAUUUUAUGUCAUUUAUACUGACUAACCAUUGUUAUUAUGAUAUUAUUAUCAUUAUUAUCUUGUGAUUUACUUUUAUGUCAUUACCUUGUAAUUUACAUUCAAGUACUCAUUAUCACCAUCAUUAUCAUUGUAUAAACUCAUCAUGCAUGUUUAUUUAUUAUUAUUUACUUUAUUAUCCUCAUACAUUAAAAAUUACUUAAAACAUGAUAAAAUGAUAAAGACAAAAAAAAAUCAUUCCACUUAAUCAACUUGGACUUAGAGGAUCUCAACCUAGGACAUUUGCUUGGAGGUCUUUUCCAUUAACCUUGUGAUACUUUAUUGACUUUGAAUUUUCAUAUGUAACUUCGAUACUGUCGCAUCUCGAAAAAUACGAUUCCUCGCGAUGGUCGCGGAAAAAAUUAUAUUCGAACAGAGUCGCCACCGAACUUUAUUUAUCCCACUGAAGGAAUAGGAGAAUGUCGAUAAAACCUUUAGGAAAUGGAAUAAUGGUCGUCGCAACCAUAUUCGGGUUCGGGAGUGGACUAUGUAAGGGGAAGGUAUUAGCACCCCUUACGUCCGUUGUACUCAACGGGAACCUUUUAGUUCUAAUUUGCGUUUCGAGUGUUAAUUUAUGUUUGUUUGUUAUCUUCGAGUUAUAAAUAUAUUGAAAAUAGAAAUGGAUGAGAACCUCAUAAAGGGGAAGGGGAGGUUUUUUAUUAGUGUGCUCGCGAAGAUACAUCAAUCUCCUACCUACGUAUCCUUAAAUAAGGAAGUCAAAGCAUUCGUAGUUCGAGGAACUACGGUUGGUUGGUGUCUUUUAGUGAACAACUGUUUUAAAUCGCGUUCUAAAGGCUAAACGCUAGCUUGUCUACUCUCGGCGGAGGCUUAAGCAUUGGUUUGUGGUGCGCAUUAUAAAGGAUUAAACAAUGUUCUUUCUGAAAAGAGUUUUGAUCACACGAGAGUGACAAGUUGGAUUAAUAUGUUGGAUGUUUUGAUUGGUUUCGAUCGCACAAGGACGAGAAAAGAUAGAUGUGUUGAGAUUUUUGGUUGGAUGACGAUUACUCGGAUAAUCGAGUAAGACAACUCGUAUCCUAAUAGUCGGGAAAGGGAAUAGAAGACUCUAUAUCGCUUUCUGUUUCACCUGAAUAAUUGUGAAAAGGAUUGGAUAAUAAUUAAGGUAUUUUAAAUGGAUGACGAUUACUCGGAUAAUCGAGUAAGACAACUUGUAUCCUAAUAAUCGGGAAAGGGAAUAGAAGACUCUAGACUGCUUUAUUUUUCAUCUGAGUGAUUAUGAAAAUAGGUUUGGGUAUGGUUGAUGUAUUUUUAGAAUAAACGACAGAAACUUGAAUGGCUGAGUAAGAUAACUCAUAUCCAAACAUAUGAGGAGAGGAAUCGAAGGCUCAAGACCAUCUCCCUUUUCGCAUAGUUUUGAUUGAGAAUGAUUUGAUUAAGUUGUAUGUUUGGCGGAAAAUGACAAUUGUUCGACUGACCGAGUAAGAAAACUCGUAUUCGUCCAAUUGAGGAGUGAAGUUGAAAACUCAAAGUCAACUCCUUUUUCAAAAAAUGUUUUGAUUUAAUCGGGGUAUUUCAAUUGAGUUUGAGAGAAAAUACUCGACGUUGGAUCGAGGUUUUAGAUUUGUGUUUUGAAUGAAGUGAAUUUAUUUAGUGUAUUGCUCUUCUAGCGGCGAUAAAAAUCGAAUAGGUGAUCUCAUUUGUAAGACAAGCGCAGUAAGCUAUGUGAGUUGAUGGCGAUGCUUUAAAAAGCAAUCACUUACAAAGGGUGUUAUGAAUUGAUUUGGAAAGGCCGGCACUCAAAAUAAUUGCCGAGGUUUGUCAUUACUAUGUGCAUAUGAGUUGAAUAUGAAAAUGUCUUAAUGAGAUCUUAUGAAUUUUUAGCUAUGCAACUGCGAAUGCAAAAAAACAAAAGAUAAUAAAGAGCUUGCAUUCGUAAGGUAGCCACAGAGAAAGCUUUUGUCGUGAUAAAGUGACUUAUGGCUAAACAAGGAUAUGCUACUUACAACAUUGCGCUAAGGUGGUGCAUAGCAAUUCUACAAUAUGGGCAGUAGUUACGGAUGAAAUCGCAAGUGUACAAAUAUAGCGACAAAGAGUAAAAGCUAAGAAGCUUAGAAACUCAGCAAGGUCCUAGAUGAAAAUCUCUAAGUCUCAAUUGAUUAGAGUGGAGAUGAAUAGUUUUUUGUCUUUAUCAUUUAUCAUGUUUUGUUAAUUUUAAUGUAUGAGACAAUAAAUAGUUAAUAAAAGUAGAAUAACAUGCAUGAUGAGUUUGUACAAUAUAUGAUGUAUAAUGAGUAUUUAAUUAAAUUACAGUAAUGACAUAAAAAGUAAAUCACAAGAUAAAUAAUGGUAAUAUCACCAUAAUAUGGUUAGUGAAUGUAAAAUGAACCAUAAAUAAAUGGCAGGAAAGUAAAGUGCAAAUGUAAAUAUUAGGAGUAGUAGUUAUGUUAGUAAUAAUAAAAUAAAUUGCAGAAUUGAAAGUGGCAAUAAAUAAAGUUAGUAGUUAUAGUUAGCUAGAAUAACAAUAACAAAUGAAUAGCUAAUUAUAUUAGAGAAUUAUGGUUUCAUGGAUGGCACCAAAUGAUGCGCAAAUAGGGUGAAAUAGAGCCAUCUAUCAUGCCUGAGAAAAGAAAAGGUAUAAUGAUGAUGCUAUUGUCAAGCCAUUAUAGUUUGAACAUUGAAGAUUUAAUGGACUCUACACAAACCAUGUCAUGACCAAUUAGAACUCAUCAGACAAUAAAUGUAACAAAAGGUCAUAAUAAAUAUUAAUGCUAACGAAAAAAUGUAAAGAAAUCGGUUUCAUCUAUGUAUCAAGAUGACCAAACAUGGGUGAGAAAUAGAGGCAAACCUAUCAUAUGCCUCUAGAUCAUGGAAGGAUUCUAUUGAAUAAUCAUUAUAGUUGAACAUUGAAUGUUUUUUUAUCCACUCUAAACAACCAUUCCAUGAAUAAGUAGAUCUGCAUCAACCAAAUAGAUGUCGAAUAACAAAUCCACAAUGAAAUAACAAAUGAAACAAAAAUACUAAGUUUUGAUAAAGAUAGUGGGAUAGCACGUAGCGCAGAGCAAUGAAAUCCGCAAAAAAAAGAUGUAGAACCAAAGUUAUCGCAUUUUUACAAGCGUGAGGUCAAAACCUCUCAAAAAUCAACAAGAAUAAACACCAUUUUCACAGCAAAAGAUACCAAAAAGUUAACAAAGUUUAAGCUAAAAUCAUUACCCAAAAAUGUUGAAAAAUGGUAGGUUGAAGUGGUGUUGAGCUUGGAUAUAGAGUAAGGAGUUUGGGAUGAAAGUGUUUAUGGUGGAAGUAUAGUGAAGGAGCUGAGUUAUGAGUGUUAGAGAGUAAGAGGUUUUGAAGAAAAUAUGAAAGUGGACAAAAAAAAGUUGGUAGGGUGACUUUUCUAAGAGAGAAAGAUUUUUUGUUUUGGCUUAGGUUUAGAGAGAUGAGUAAAUGGUACUUGGGCAGAACUUUUGGGGGCUAGAAAGCAUGAAAAAUGAGGGGAAAUAGUACCUCUAUUUAUAGGGAAAGUUGGUGGAAAAAGGGGGUGAUCCAAAAAGCACAUUGUGUAAAAUUCAGACUUAUUACAGCUGCCUGCGCAGGUGUAAUCGGUUACCCUAAUUAGGGUAACCGGUUACCUAGUCAAAAAUGGCCAAAAACUCAAUUUUGGGUCUGUGUAACCGGUUACGCUGAUUAGGGUAACCGGUUACCCCAUUUUUUUUAUUUUUUUUUAGAAAUAAUGAAUGUAUGCAUGUGCAGUAGGAUCAUGGAUCAGAUGAAAGUUGUAUCGGGGUAGGAUAAAAUUGGGGUAUGACAGAUACCGGUUGUACGAAUGGCAUCAUGACACCACCUUAGGGGGACAUGUUUGUAAGACCAUUAUCAUUUGUUAGCUUAGGUCACUUUUUGCACAUACAAGGCUUUCUCUUGGGCUACCUUACAACGAUACCCUCUACUUUCUUGUUUGGUUACUUUGUAUAUCUGUUACAUUACCUAAUUUCAUAGCCAAAUAAACAAAGUCUUGAUUCAAAGUCAAGUGGCAUUUUCUUAAUCAAAUCCAAAAUACAACAAAACUACGAUUAUUAUUGUGCGUCACGAGUCUUAAGUGGUGGAGAAUGAGUAAGAAUUGAGCAUUCCUACCCUUAGUCUAAUUAUUUUGGACGCAAGACGCUUGACUUGCUGUCUAGAAUAUUCACCUCCACCCAUAGACUUUAGUGCAAUAUAAUCACAAACAUUCUUUUCAUAAAAUCCUUAUUCAAGGUAAAAACAAUACAACUCAUCAAACCUCAUUUUUUGCCUUAGGGCACCAUCCCGAAAAUCCUUUUUCCAAAGGUAAAAUCAACCAACACAAGCAUUUUCUACUCCGAACUACGAAGCUCUGAUUUCUCAUCACCCGAUGAGUGAUACAUAGGCACAAGGGCCACAAUCCUUGGUGAGCACAAUAAUAAUAAAAACUCAAAACCCAAUUCUUUUACACUCUUUAGAAAAUAAACAAUAAAAGUGAUAAAUAUCUGCAUAUGUAAACAACUCAAAUGGUUCCUAUGGAGUACCAUGGACAUGAGGGAUGUUAAUACCUUCCCCUUGCAUAACCGACUUCCGAACCCAAAUUUUGGUUACGAGACCGAUAUCUUACCCCUUUUUGCGCUUCCCGGGCGCAUUCUCUUUUCGAGGGUUUUAUCGAUUAUUUCCUCUCACCUCUCCAUUAGAGGCAUAUAAAUAAAAUUUGGUGGCGACUCCCCUAUUUUCUCUUUAAACAUGACGAUGGUCCUAGUUUCAUUAUCGUGAAAUCUUGGUAGUAACGGCUGGAGACUCUGCUUAGGAUAAUUGGUUUUUUCCCUAAGCAAGUCUAGCUUAAUUUGGGUUGUUUUCCUUUUUACGUAUGUGGGGAUUUAUCCUUUUUUUUCCUAUGUAUAUAGUGAUUUUAUUACUAACCUGUACAUAUUAUUUUUGUUUGUUGGUCCAAAACCAUGGCUCUAUGACGAAGAAAAAAAGGUUGCAAUAACGAUGUAAUGAAAAACCUUGUGUGCAAGACUCUCCACCCAAGUCUGAGAGCUUACUUGAGAUAUGAGAGGUUGAGUAGUAUGGGUCCCCGGGGUUCCUUCUCCGUGUAGGAUCGUACGAGAACCUCACUUAGUGGUAGAAUCUCUUAAGGAGAUUGAUGACCGUCGUGCUUUCGGCGUAAGAAUAUUUUCCUUUAUUAGAGUUUGUGACCCUAAGACCCCCUUUUAGAACAUUUAACCAUGGUCGGCCUAGACCAAUGGUAGCGUAGUAUAUUUCCUCAUGGAGCUUUCCUCGCGAGGGUUGAUAUGAAGAUCUCACUUAGAGUAGAUUACCUUUAUGGAGCAGUUGCCUGACAAGUAAAUUGAUAUAAACGGAUGAUAGUCAAGGGAGUCCAUGAUUCUAGGGGUAGUGUCUUACACCCAAUUUCUCAAAAACCCUAGAUCAUACAAAGUGAGAACCCUGGUUUGAAAAGCAGACAUUAUUAAACCUCACACUUCGUCACGAUGGUCCCAGACUUUGAACCCGUGCCUAAAGUUCCGUGGAAAUUAAUAAAAAAACGAGUUUAAAAGUGUAGUGUUGGUUCUAUGUGUUGGCAGCAAUUUUGGUAAAACCUAGAGUGUUCACAAGUUGUCAUAACUGUGUUCUUGACAUAAGAUAACAUGUACCAGCAGGGUGUUUAAAAUGUGAAUGUGCAGGAUUUUACUGAGAUGUCAGACACGAUGUCAUGACAUCUGUAUACAGAACAUUCAGUCUAAAUGUUAUGUAUUGUGUGAUUGCGUUUUUUAUGCUAAUCUCUGUGUGAUUUAUGAGAUGAUUGAAUGUGUCAUUCAAUCAGUAAUUACAACCAGAUUGACUUAUUUUCCAACGAGAUAUCAUCAGCUGUCAUGAGAAGAUAUGAAUGGAAAAUAGUUUUAGGGUUUUAUGAUGUCCAAGCCCAGCCAAACACUUCUAUAUAAAGGACAUGGAAAACCUAGUUUUAUACACAAGAAAUAACGAACGAAAUAUUGAGAGAGAAUAAGGGUUUUAGUCUUGUGUGGUCGUGUGUAUUGUGAGCCAUUCAUUCAUCCAUAGAUGAUUGAAUUGGACUGACUUUUGAGUUGAUGGUCGUGUGUAUUGUGAGCCAUUCAUUCAUCCAUAGAUGAUUGAAUUGGACUGACUUUUGAGUUGUAAUUUGUCCACUCUAAGCUUUGAAGCAUGAGUGUGUAUUUACUUGAUUGAAGCUUUUAAGCAAGAUCAAGUAUGUGUUCUUGAAGAGUGUCUUCUUUUCAUUGUGAUUCUUGUUUUAUAUCACUGCUGUGAUUGAGGGGGAGUGAGUAGGAUCUCAUAUCUAAGAGUUCUUAGGUAGAAGUCACACGGAUAGAGAUUAGGUGAAAAGACUGUAACUUGAGGUUGUUUACUGAGAGUCUUUGAACUAAUUAUGUUUAGUGGAUUCCCUUCCUGGCUUGGUAGCCCCCGGACGUAGGUGAGUUUGCACCGAACUGGGUUAACAAUUGCUUGUGUCACUUGCAUUACUGUUCUUUAUCUUUUAUCCUGUUUAUCUUGUUCAGAUAUUAGUGUCAUGACAUUACCUUCGACAUCUCAUAUCUGAUACCAGAAUUUCAAUUGGUAUCAGAGCAGGCAUCCUGCUCUGGUUCGGGGUGAGAUCUAGGGACGGUACACUCUGGUACUAUGGAUAGAGACGGAGGAUCUGUUCACAGACCACCUAUUCUGGAUGGAUCCAACUAUGACUACUGGAAACCUAGAAUGGUAUCCUUCCUGAAAUCUUUGGAUAAUAAGGCUUGGAGGGCUGUUUUAACAGGCUGGGAACAUCCAGUUAUUACUAAGGAAUGAGAAGCUAUAACUAAGAAGAAGGAUGAGGAACAAUGGACCAAGGAGGAGGAGGAUCUAGCCCUUGGAAACUAUAAAGCAUUGAAUGUUAUAUUCAAUGGGGUUGACAAGAACAUCUUCAGAUUGGUGAACAACUGUGAGGUGGCUAAAAAUGCUUGGAAUAUUAUCAAAACCACUCAUGAAGGCACCUCUAGAGUGAAGAUGUCUAGAUUGCAGCUGCUCACUACCAAGUUUGAAAAUUUAAGGAUGAAAGAAGAUGAAAACAUUCAUGACUUUCACAUGAAUAUCCUUGAAAUUGCUAAUGCCUCAAGAGCCCUGGGUGAGAAGAUAUCAGAUGAAAAACUAGUGAGGAAAAUACUCAGGUCACUUCCUAAGAGAUUUGCCAUGAAAGUGACAGCCAUAGAAGAGUCUCAAGACAUUUGCAAUAUGAGAGUGGAUGAGCUAAUUGGAUCCCUCCAAACAUUUGAGUUGGGAAUGUGUGAUGGAUCUGAAAAGAAAGUCAAAAGCAUAGCCUUCAUGUCAAACACUGAAGAGAAAGAGGAAGAAAGUGGUCAAGAUACUGAUGAAGAUCUGGCAAAUGAUGUAGCAUUGCUGGGAAGACAGUUUAACAAACUUCUGAAAAAGAUGGAUGUAAGGUCUAAGUCUAAUGUCAAGAACAUCUCAUCUGACAUCAGUAGGUCCAAUAAUGCUGGAAGAAGAACAAGAUCUGAUGAAAAGUCCAAAGAAGGAAAAGGAGUUCAGUGCCAUGAAUGUGAUGGGUAUAGACACAUUAGAGCUGAAUGUGGGACCUACCUCAAGAAACAGAAGAAGAGUCUUGCUGCUACUUGGUCUGAUGAAAGUGAAACAGAAGGAGAGUCUGCAAAUCUUGUGACUGCCUUGACUAGAAGAUGGGGUUCUGAUGAAGACUCAAGUGAUGAUGAAGUAACCUUUGAUGAGUUAGCCACUACCUAUAGAAAGUUGUGUCACAGAAGUGAAGAAGUGUGUCAACAAGUGGAAAGUCAGAAGAAAGUGAUAAGACAACUGGAGAAUGAGAAGGCAGAACACUUGGAAACUAUCUCUAAGUUGAAGACUGAAGCAGUGUUCUUGAACUCCAAACUGGAUGAGAUGACAAAGUAUGUCAGAAUGCUGAACAAUGGAUCUGACAACUUAGACAAAAUUCUCCAGGCUGGAAAAAUGGCAGGAGACAAGUCUGGCCUUGGGUUCAAUGAAUCCAAACCUGAGUGUAGUCACACUGGUAGCAAACCAAAGAUGUCACAUCAUAUGUCACAACAUCAUAAGGAAAUACAUCAUAAAGGAAAACACCAAAGAUGGAGAUGUCAUUACUGUGGAAAAUUUGGCCACAUAAAACCAUUCUGCUAUAAGUUGUAUGGCUAUCCUAUCCCUUCUCAUCAUCAACCUAGACCCAAACAUCACAUCCCUGUCAAUAGAAAACAAUGGGUUCCUAGGGCUGGUGUUACUAACCUGAUAGCUCACACUUCCUUCAGAGUUUCAGCCAAAGAAGACUGGUAUUUUGACAGUGGAUGCUCCAGACACAUGACUGGAAACAAAAACCAGCCAAAGAAGACUGGUAUUUUGACAGUGGAUGCUCCAGACACAUGACUGGAAACAAAAACCUGCUAACUGACCUUCAUCCUCAUGCCACCAGCUAUGUAACCUUUGGUGAUGGAGCAAAGGGUGAAACCAAGGGGAUUGGAAAGCUAGACUGCCUUGGAGUCCCUAACCUUGACAAUGUCCUACUUGUUAAAGAACUGACUGCAAACCUAAUAAGCAUCAGUCAACUAUGUGACCAAGGUCUAACUGUAAAUUUCACAAAAACUGAAUGUCUGAUUACUAAUAAAGAAAAUGAAGUGAUCAUGAAAGGAGUCAAGUCUAAGGACAACUGUUAUAUGUGGAGUUCUCAAGAAACUGGUUAUUCAUCAAUGUGUACUCUAGUCAAAGAAGAAGAAGUGAAGAUAUGGCAUCAAAAAUUGGGCCAUCUGCAUCUUAAAGGAAUGAAGAGGAUUAUAUCUGUUGAAGCUGUCAGAGGAAUUCCAAACUUGAACAUUGAUGAAGGAAGAGUUUGUGGAGAAUGUCAAAUUGGAAAACAGGCAAAGAUGUCACAUCAGAAGCUCAGACAUGACACCACUUCCACAGUGCUGGAACUUCUCCACAUGGACUUGAUGGGACCCAUGCAGGUGGAAAGUCUUGGUGGGAAAAAGUAUGCUUAUGUGGUGGUGGAUGACUUCUCCAGAUACACCUGGGUCAAUUUUAUAAGAGAGAAAUCUGAUGUAUUUGAAGUCUUCAAAGAUAUUUGUCUAAGACUUCAAAGAGAAAAAGAAAGUCAAGUUAUUAGAAUCAGAAGUGAUCAUGGGAAAGAAUUUGAGAACAACAAAUUUGCUGGAUUCUGUGCAUCAGAAGGAAUUAGUCAUGAGUUCUCAUCUCCCAUUACUCCUCAGCAAAAGUUGUGUGAGGGAAGAAGAAAGCAAUAAAACUGCUCCAAGAAUCAGCAGAGGCUUAGAUUCAUGCUAAGAAAAAUCUGCCUAACUGACUUGCGGGGAAAGUCUGGAACAAAUGACACACGACUGCUAUGUCACAACAGAGACGUAGAUUGCAGAAAGGGCUCCUACUAACUGUAUAUGAAGGCUGGAAAUGGAGAAGACUACAGCUAGAUUACUGAUUCCAGAUGUGUUCGGUAGUAAAUGUUAUACUCUUGACUCAAUCGUUGGAACAAAGAGGAGAGAUAUGGAUCCCAGAGGAUGAUUGUAAGGAAUUUUGUCGGGCUACUCGAACAAAACAGCAGAGCCAUUUAAGAGUUCUUUCAAGUCGCAGAACAAAAGUAAUGAUGAAUCUAUCAAUGUUUGUGUGUUGAUGAUGCACAUACGACUGAUUGUCACAAGAUGUUGAAGACGAUCCCUAAUGAUCCCGAAGCUGUUCUUGACGAGAAAGUAAUGAGAGUGAACUCACUCAAGCUGAACCUGAAGACAAAAUUGAAGUACGGAUCGAGGAAACAGGGCCUUUAUACAGAAUUCAGUAGGAUCAUUAAAUUUCUCAUUAAUAAGGGACCAAAAAAGACUCACACUAGAUGGAAAGCUGUGGAUCUCACAAUGGCGUAGUUUUGUGCUCCCAAGAUUGGAGCCUAUGAUGUCAAGGGAAGCCUUGAUUGAAUAAUUAUGAUCAUGACCGACGCAGGAAGAGUUAGCAAUCAAAGAGAAAGAUGAAGUAUGGCAUACUGUAUCGAAGACCUGAAGGAUAGUGAAUGUCAUGGACAAAUAAGUUGGUGUUAACAAGAAUAAGAGAUUGAGUGAAAAUAGGGUGGUUAGGUACAUAAAAAUAGGGUAGGGGCAAAUUAGUAGACACAGAGGAGAGCACUCAAGGAUAAUUGGAGGAAAGGAGACGUUUGGCAUGAAACAUUUGCCCCUGGUAACGUCGGCCUUGAGUCAUUAGACUAUGCUUGGAGUGGCAUGUAUUCGAAGUGUAAACUGGGUUCUAGAAGUUGAAUUAGAGGGAUAGCCUUCUUGGAGUUUGACUUCCCUAACAGUAGGAAGUGAGACUUGGAAAACAGCCUAAUAGGGAUGUUAGAGAUCAAAAAUCAUCUAUAAAUACUCAGGUUCAUCACACUAGAAAGCCCUCUAUGGUUUGAAACAAGCUCCUAGGGCUUGGUAUGAUAGACUCACAGUGUUUCUCAUUAACAAUGGAUACAGGAAGGGAGGAAUUGACAAGACCCUAUUUGUUAAGAAUGAAGGAGGAAAACUCAUGGUGGCUCAAAUAUAUAUGGAUGAUAUUAUGUUUGGUGGGAUGUCAGAUCAGAUGGUCGAACAUUUUGUUAAACAAAUGCAGUUUGAAUUUGAAAUGAACCUUGUUGGAGAGCUUACCUAUUUUCUUGGGCUACAAGUCAAGCAGAUGGAAGAUUCUAUCUGUCUAUCUCAAAGCAAAUAUGCCAAAAACAUUGUUAAGAAGUUUGGCAUGGAGAAUGCAAGUCAUAAAAUGACACCUACUCCUACACAUCUGAAAGUCUCCAAAGAUGAAGAUGGUGUUAAUGUAGAUCAAAGUCUCUAUAGAAGCAUGAUAGAAAGUCUGAUAUACCUCCCAGCAAGCAGACCUGGCAUUGCUUUUGUUGUAGGUGUUUGUGCUAGAUAUCAAGCUGAACCAAAAGUAAGUCACAUAAACCAAGUGAAAAGCAUACUAAAAUAUGUCAAUGGCACCAGUGACUAUGGGAUGUUGUAUACUCAUGGAUCUGGAUCUAUGCUGACUGGAUAUUGUGAUGCUGACUGGGCUGGAAGUGUUGAUGAUAGGAAAAGCACAUCAGGAGGAUGUUUGAAGAACCCCUUGUUGAAUUAUAGUACCAAUAGUAAGAAACAAAAUUGUGUGUCUCUGUCCACUGCUGAAGCUGAAUACAUAGCAGCUGGAAGUAGUUGUUCUCAACUGGUUUGGAUGAAACAAAUGUUGACUGAAUACAAUGUCACGCAAGAUGUCAUGACAUUGUACUGUGAAAACCUGAGUGAUAUAAAUAUUUCUAAGAAUCCUAUUCAGCACAGCAAGACAAAACAUAUUGAUAUUCGUCAUCAUUUUAUUAGAGAACUAGUGGAAGAGAAAAUCAUAGCUCUGGAGCAUGUUACUACUGAAAUGCAAUUAGUUGAUAUAUUUACAAAGGCUUUGGAUGCUAAUCAAUUUGAAUGUCUAAGAGGGAAAUUAGGGAUUUGUAUCUACGAGAAUUUAUAGCAAUUAAUUUGGAGUGGAAAAGGUAAUAAAAAUAUUGUCUUCCCACUUAAAAGAAAGUGUCCCAUUUAUGGUAAAUCAUCGCCUAGUAUUGGAACUUCCAUCUAUUGCAAUUUCACACACAACCUCUACUCAAACAUUUCCACCUUCCUUCAACUUCAUCAACCUUCUCUGCUAGGGCAACAAAAAUCUUUCCACAAGAACAACAAGAUGUCACAACAUCCUUCACCAUCUGGUUCUAAAAACACCAAACCAACGCACAAAGCUAGAACGCCCUCUAUGGACUUUCUUAAUGAAGACAUUUUGGAAGUGAUUCCCCUGUCUGUCAUUCUAGGCGACGCUCCUGGUUCAUCCUCAACUGCAUGCCCUACUCAAGGUAACAGUUCCAAUAUCCCCUCCAUCUCUACUUAUACUCCUAGUUCUAAGGAUGACAUGCAUCACACUGAUUGUGUCAUUAGAAAUCUUGUCAUAAGGAUCCUUAAUGAAGGACACUCUGUAAAGGGAAUUUCUACUCCUCUAUAAAGAAGGGACCCCUCUCCUGAGGUUGGACCUCACAAUGAGAAGGAGGAUGAUUCCUCUAGGUCUGAAAAAGAUAUAGCUACUGAAGGAUUAUGCUCUUUAGGGAAAACUUUGUCUAGUAAGAAAUCUGUGGCAUCACCUACUGCCAAUGCUUCUCAGUCUAAGAAGCAUGACUCUGCUAAGAAGGUGAUUGAUCUGGAAGAUAAGAGCUUGGAUGAUUAAGAUGAUAGCUUGCUUCAUCACUUGAAUCCUAGUGUAGCUAAGAGGAUGAAAACCAGAAAGGAUAGGUCUGUGGCUGAGAUGAUGACAUCCAAAACUGCUAAGAAGGCUACUGUUGUAGGGCCCUCAAAGUCUUGGAGUAAAGUAGAGGUGAAGAAGAGAAAAGUAAGAGAAAGUUUUGACUCAGAUGAAGAUGUUGAAGAAGAUGUCCCUGACAUCUCUCCUGUCAAGAGGACAACUGUUAGAAAAUCCCCUGCAAAAGUUGCUGAUGUACACUUGGAUAAUAUUUCCUUCCAUCUUGAAGAUGGAGAAGCAAAAUGGAAGUUUGUAAUCCAAAGGAGAGUGGUUGUGGAAAGAGAACCAGGCAAGGAUGUUGUGGAGGUUAAAGAGGUCAUGGACCUGAUUAAAUCUGUUGGAUUAAUGAAAACUGUUACUGGGUUAUCUCAGUGUUUUGAAGGUCUGGUCAAAGAAUUUGUGGUGAACAUCCCUGAGGACAUUGCUGAUAAAAACAACAAAGAGUUUUGUAAGUUGUUUGUUAGAGGGAAGUGUAUCAAUUUUUCUCCAACUAUGAUUAAUAAGUUCCUAGGAAGAGGAACAGAAGGUGCUUGUGAACUCGAAGCCACAGACAAUGAGGUCUGUAGGGAAAUAACUGCUAGACAGGUCAAGGAGUGGCCUAGCAAGAAGCAUCUCUCUGCUGGAAAGCUAACUGUGAAAUAUGCUAUCUUGCACAAGAUAGGGUCAGCAAAUUGGGUACCAACCAAUCACAUCUCUACAAUCUCAAAUGCUCUUGGAAGGCUCAUAUUUGUUAUUGGAACCAAGCUUAAUUUUGAUUAUGGUAGAUUCAAGUUUGAACAAAUUGUCAUACAUGCUUCUACAAAUGCAGUGAAGCUGCCCAUAGCUUUUCCCUCAAUGAUUUGUAGGAUAAUCCUGAGCCAGCAACCUAGAAUUCUGAGUACAAAUGAUCUUCCUAGUAGAAGAAAACCUCCCAUGUCACUUCAUUACAAAUUAUUUGAAGGCAGUCAUGUCAAUGACAUUGUCAUGACAUCUGCUGUGAAGAAGACAGACUCAAAAGGUGGUCUGAUUGCUGAAUUGAGAGAAACUUAUAAGGAAUUGGAAACUGGGAUAAGGGUAGCUAAAGCCAGGAAAGAAGCUUUGGAGGUUAUGAUUGAUAGCUUGGAGCAAGCUGAUAGAGAUAAUGUUGGAUAGGCCAAGGAAACAGAAGCCCAAACCUCUAGUGAGAGGUCUGAAUCUCAAGAUGAAUCAAGUGGCAGUUCUGGUUCUCAAGCUGAUGAAGAUGCAAGCUCCUCUGAUUGAGUCUUGUUGAUGAUUGUUCCCCACUUUUCUGAUGAUAUCCUGUUCUGGAUGUUUUGAUGGUGUUUUUCUUGGCAGUCAUGUUUUGAUGCCUUGAUGUAUUUUUUGGGUUCUUUUUUAUUUCUCUAGAUUUUUAUCUCAGCUUGUAUAGUUGUGUUUGUUUGUGGUUCUGUAACACCUAACAAUAUGUUUUGACAUCCUAUGUGGCAUUCUGUUUGACUAAUAGACAUUUAUUUUGUCUCAUUGGUCUCUUUGGUCUCUUUUGGCUAAAAAGGGGGAGAAGUAGCUAAAGGAGUUGUAGCUAUGUAGAUAUGCUAUAAACAGAUGACAGAUGAUAUUGAAGAUGAUGCAUGUUGGAGAUAAUCUGUUUAGUACAGGUGUUGUUGAAAGAGAUGUCAGAUGGGGAGGUGUAUGUUACAGGUGUUGUUGAAGGAGAUGUCUGUGUUGAGCAGACUGAGGGGGAGAAGAAGCACAUGUGUGUUUAAUAUGUGUUUACUAGUUGUUAUUUUAGCUAGUAAAUGUGUGUUUUAUUACUUCUGCUCCUAAAUCGCUGAUGUUUUUUUUUACUCUUGUGAACAAAUGGUCUGAUGUAUGUUUUAGCCAAAAUUUGCCAAAGGGGGAGUUUGUUGGUUCUAUGUGUUGGCAGCAAUUUUGGUAAAACCUAGAGUGUUCACAAGUUGUCACAACUAUUGUCUACUUGACAUAAGAUAACAUGUACCUGCAGGUGUUUAAAAUGAAUGUGCAGGAUUUUACUGAGAUUCGACCUGAUGUCAUGACAUCUGUAUACAAAACAUUCAGUCUGAAUUUAUGUAUUAUAUGAUGUUAUGUUAUGUAGUUUUAGCCAAAAUUUGCCAAAGGGAGUUUGUUGGUUCUAUUUGUUGUUGCAGGCAAUUUUGUAAAAACUAAAGUGUUCACAAGUUGUCACAACUGUUGUCUUGACAUAAAUAACAUUGUACCUGCAGGGUGUUUAAAAUGUGAAUGUGCAGGAUUUUACUGAGAUGUCAGACCCGAUGUCAUGACAUCUGUAUACAGAACAUUCAGUCUGAAUGUUAUGUAUUAUGUGAUUGCGUUUUUUAUGUUAAUCUUUGUGUGAUUGAUGAGAUGAUUGAAUGCGCCAUUCAAUCAGUAAUUAGAAUGAGAUUGACUUAUUUUCCAAUGAGAUAUCAUCAGCUGUCAUGAGAAGAUAUGAAUGGAAAAUGGUUUUAGGGUUUUAUGAUGUCCAAGCCCAACCAAACACUUCUAUAUAAAGGACAUGGAAAACCUGGUUUUAUACAUAAGAAAUAACGAACGAAAUAUUGAGAGAGAAUAAGGCUUUUAGUCUUGUGUGGUCGUGUGUAUUAUGAGCCAUUCAUUCAUCUAUAGAUGAUUGAAUUGGACUGACUUUUGAGUUGUAAUUUGUCCAUUCUAAGCUUUGAAGCAUGAGUGUGUGUUUACUUGAUUGAAGCUUUUAAGCAAGAUCAAGUAUGUGUUCUUGAAGAGUGUCUUCUUUUCAUUGUAAUUCUUGUUUUAUAUCGCUGCUGUGAUUGAGGGGGAGUGAGUAGGAUCUCAUAUCUAAGAGUUCUUAGGUAGAAGUCACACGAGUAGAGAUUAGGUGAAAAGACUGUAACUUGAGGUUGUUUACCGAGAGUCUUUGAACUAAUUCUGUUUAGUGGAUUUCCUUCCUGGCUUGGUAGCCCCCAGACGUAGGUGAGUUUGCACCGAACUGGGUUAACAAUUGCUUGUGUCACUUGCAUUACCGUUCUUUAUCUUUUAUCCUGUUUAUAUUGUUCAGAUAUUAGUGUCGUGACAUUACCUUCGACAUCUCAUAUCUGAUACCAGAAUUUCAUGUAGUAAAACGGAAGCGACAUGACAAGAUCCUCUGCAACUUCUCUUUACAUGACAAGAUCCAAUCAUGCUUGGAGGAUCAUCAAAAGUUUGGAGACAUUAUAGGUCAUUUGUGGACUUGGUGAAAUUUGACCUAUUUUCAAGUGACUUUUCCCAACUUUAAAAGAUCAUAACUUCUUCAAUUUUUAACAUAUGAGUCUGAUUCUUUUUUCACAAUGACAUUUGUGAUACCACAUACAAGUUUUCCUCAAUAACUAAGGUCAGAAUAUGCUUAGAAGACCAUGGAAUUCAUUGAAACAUUACAAGUCAUUUUCAGCCAUGAUGCACUCAAAUGUUUCUAAGUUAUAUGAUCAGUUUUUCUUGUCAACUUCAACAUGACAUAAAUUUAUGCUCAAGCAUCCAAAAGCAACCUUUCUUGUCACAUUGUAAUCUUUGCUAUGAUGUUAACACAUUGUAAAAUGAAUGGGAUCAAAAAGCCUCUUGAGUAGAGUGCCCCAUUAGGUUGAACAUGGUGACUUGUAACUGAAGAAAUUGUCAUUGCCUGAGUUUUGAACUUCACUAAUCUCAAUUCCAAGCCAAAUUAGCAUGUGUUUUAGACCUAAACAUAUUUAACCAAGUCUCCAAAAGUUAAUUGACCCUUAAAACACAUCAUUUGGCUGAGUUUUGAUAAGUUACAAGUCACAUUUUUCACACACUCUGAUCAAAUUCAUUUUGCACGAAUUCUGCGUCAUUUCACACGUAUUUGGAUCCAAUCACACUCCCUAUAAAUAUAGGAAGCUAUUGCAUUCAUUUUCAAGCUUUUGAGAUCCAAGAGAUCCUUGCCACAACUUGAAAUAUUUCCAGAAAAUUCAAUUAUCGUGUUUUGAGUUCCAACUUGUUUCAAUCCAAUUUCUUGAUUCCAUUAGAACCUUCGACAUCCUAUGAAUUUUUUGCAACAAUUCCCAAGCUCUGAGACCUUCUAAAGUGCUCUAACCAGAUCGAGCUUCUUCAACUUCUGAUCACCAUUUGGACAAGGUAUUUCGGAGCAUCAUUUGAACUCAUACAAGUUACCAUAAUGUAGUCUUUUACUCUCUGAUGCUUUCCAAUAACUUAUCUGGUGUUGAUUGAUUGUGUUCAUCAUUUAAUUUAAUUUUUCGUGGCUUGCUUGUUUCUAAAACUUCUCUGAAAUUCCCUUUGCUCAGUUUAUAUAAAUGAAUUUGGAGCAUAAGGUUGAAUUCGGGAUGAGAAAAUGAUCACAAUGGUGGUGAUCUCGUGUCUUCAAUUAACCAAACAAUGAAACUCAGGUGAGAGCUCACCGGAGAAGACGACUGGAGUUUUCUCAGGUUGUCUAAGUUUGAUCAGACACAUUGGCAGAACGAAAUAUUCUGAUUGGUUGGAUUUGAACUGGAUCAUGUGUUUGGCUUGCAGUGCAUUCCAUCGUGUUCUCUAACAUAUGAAGUGUUGGAUCUGCCAAGUCAAUUAAUGAGGCAUGAUCCAACGCUCCGUAUUUUUUUUUAUUUUUUAUUUUUUUAAUUAUUUUUAAUUGAUUUUUUAUUUUAAAAUUCAUAAUAAUUCCAUUUCCAUCCAAAAAAUCCCAAAAUGAUUUAUAAAAUUCUCUUUUAUUUUUCUUCAUCUGAUUUUUAUUUUUCCAUAUUUUAUGUCACAAAUUUUCUAUUUUUCAUGAAUUUUCUAUUUUCUACUUUGUUUUAAUUGGUUUAAAAAUACUUUUCUGCAUUUUAAAAUUCUGAAAAUUUUAUUAUAUGCUUCUUAUUUUAUUUCUAACCUUCCAUAAUUUUCUUGGCCAUUUAUUUGGUGUUUUGAAGGACUUCAUGGAUUUUCCCUUUCAUUCCUAUUUUAAAAUUCAUUUAAAAAUACCUUUGAUGCAUUUUUAUUUUAUUUUAUUGCAUUUUAUUUUUGUAUGACCCUUGUGAACUUCUGUUGGCAUUAGAUCAUGAUGUUUUGGACGUUAAGUCUCAUCAAACUCAAUGGAUCUUGGGUGUUGAUGGGGUGAAAACCCUAAUCCACUAAAAUGGAUGAUUGGUUUUGAUGAUGACUUGAUCAAACUUUUUGGUCCAAUUUGGGUGUGACUUCUCUUGUGUCUCUCUUCUUCAUCUCUUUCUUUUCCGUUUGAUCAAUUGGAUGGCUUGUGUCCAUCUUGUUCAUGAUCUAUGGAUUGGUACUUGAUGAACUUUCAUCAUUUCAAAUCUAUCUCCUAAUUGAUCAUUGAUCAUUUAAGGUAAUUUGGAUUGAUGCAUAAGUUUAUCAUAAGUGUCAUGAAGUGUGGAUUGAAGUAAUGAACCAUUCUCCUAGCCUCUUUGCUUGAUCAUCCCCUUUCUUUAUUUUUUUCUGUGGCAUGUCUUAAGGAGAAUGAUUUACAUCAUUUCUCUAACAUGUAUUAACACAAACAUUAUUAUUGACCGAUCUCAGAUAGUUGUGACUUCUACAUAAGUCUAAUUAUGAUUGCUUAACAUAGCGCUAAAUUUGACCCAAAGAAAACAAAGGCAUUUUUAUAAGUGAGAUUAUAAGUCUCCUAUUCCUCAUGGCAUUGUAUGAAAAUUUUGCUCCUUUUCCAUUUUGUGAGAGCUAGUGUCAUACUUGUUGAUUUUAUCCAAGUUGAAGCCCUUCUUAUAAAUGAUGUAUAGGUUCAUAUUUUCAUGCUUGUGAGUGGAUAGUUGAGUAUUCUCCAAAAAAUGACCAAACCAUCUUUCAUCUUUAAUUACUAACAUCCUUUACUAACACUUUACUUGUAUUAACUUUUAUUUCAAAGUCAUUUACUUUAUGCUCCUUUAUUUUAUGUCAUUUACCGUAUACUUUAUAUUUAGCAUUCCAUACCAUAUUAUUUGUGUUUUUGUCAUUUUGUUCUUUGUCCAUUUGGACCUUUCUUUUAUAUCAUUGUAAAGAAGACAUUAAUAAAGAAAAACCUAAAAAAGAAACUUGGUUAUCCUGAUUCAUGGACGUGCGGUUACUAUCCUUCAUAUAAUUUGUGGAGUUAUGGACUUAGAAUUAGGAUCUUGACCUUUGCUUUGGGACUUAUGAUUUGAGACCCUAGAAUUCAUCUAGUACCUUUGAUUUGUGAUUUCCUUUUGAAGACUUGGUUAACUUACUCUGGUUUCAUCUGAUAUAUGGAUUAUUAUUUGCUUAUUCUGGCUUGCUUGAGGCUUAAUGCAAAUGAGGUUGUUCUUGUUUGACUUAUGUCAUAAAUCUUACUAUCUCUUGGUUAGAUCUUUCCUCCCUAGCUUUUACUUUAUGCUCUAGGAUAGUCUCUUCUUCUCCUCCCCUUCUUUAAUUUUCAAAACCUUCUCUCUUCUUUUAAAAACCUUCUUGUUUUUUUUUAAACUUGAACUACUUUCUCAAUAAACCUUGACUUUUGUCAAGUGAUUUUCAAAACCUUUUUCUUCUCCUCCCCCUUCUUUGAUGUGUCAAAACCUUGAGUUUGUUCUUGACAAUGCAAGCCAUAAGAAAACUCCAACUGCUACUCAUUUGAAGUUGUCAAAGGAUGAAAGUGGAGUUGAUGUAGAUCAAAUUCUUUACAUAAGUAUAAUUGGGAGCUUACUAUACCUAAAUUCUAGCAGACUUGCCAUCAUAGUUUUUGUAGGUGUAUGUGCUAGAUAUCAAGCUUAAACUAAAGCCAGCUAUCUCACUCAAGUAAAGAGGAUCUUGAAGUACAUCAAUGGGACUUAUGAGUAUGGUAUUUUAUAAACUCAUGACACAAAUGCAAUACUAGUAAGGUAAUGUGAUGUAGAUUGGCUUGAGAGUGUUGGUGAUAAAAAGAGUACAUCAGGUGGAUAUUUCUUCCUUGGCAAAAAUUUGAUCUCUUGGUUCAACAAGAGGCAAAAUUUUGUCUCAUUAUCCACUAAGGAAUAUGAAUACAUUAUUGCAUGAAGCAGUUGCACUCAAUUGUUAUGUAUGAAAAAAUGUUGAAGGAGUAUAAUGUCAAACAAGAUAUCAUGACAUUGUUCUGUGAUAACAUGAGUGCCAUAAAUAUCUCAAGAAAUCAUGUUCAACACAGUAAAACCAAGCACAUUGACAUUCUAUAUCACUUCAUCAGAGAUCUUGUGGAUGAUAAAAUUGGUAAUCGCAUGUAGCAACUGACAAAUAGUUGUGACAACAAGAUUUGGUUUUGCAUCUAGCCUUAUAUUUUGAUGAUAACAACUCAUAGACUCUUAGAGAAAAAUGGUGUACCCUAAUCAAUUUUUUUUGUAUGCAAAUACUAGAUUCAAGUUCUAACUCUAAAUAAAUUACAUGUGAUGUCAUCAAAUUCUGAAUCUAGUGCACUCAGACUCUGAGAUACGUGGUUUAUAAAAUAAUCAAGCUCUGGAUUUUGUAGUCAAUGCUUCUGAACUUAUGCUCAUACAAAGCUUUGCUACUCUGAUGAUUUUGGCGCUGAUAUGUGUCGCAUCUCGGAAAAAUGCACACACAAAAACAUAGUCACCAUCAAUGUUAUUUAUCCCAAGAGAGGGAAAGGAAACACCGAGUAAACCUACAAAAGGGUGAAUCUAAUGGUCUAAUAACCAAGAGAUGGGUAAGGGAGUCGAUUACGCAAGGGGAAGGUAUUAGCACCCCUAACGUUUGUAGUAUUCUACAAGAUCCACUAUUGUUGUUCUAAUCAAAAGGGUGUGUUUAUUCUAAAGCCUACAAACUAAAAAGGAAUGCAUGCACAAGAUUUAAUUAUUUACAAACAAAAAGAAAGUUUUUUAUUAUUGUGCUUGCUUAGACUUUACAACCCAAUGCCUACGUAUCCCGCAAGAAUCAGAGCACCGUAGUUCUUCUAAAACGAAGUGGAAAACGAAGUUUGAUUGGUUGAGUGCUUUGUUAAGAGAAUACAUCAAAUGAUCCACCCAAGGCAAGAGGUAUCUGAGUACUUCUCUCUUAUUGUUGAAAGAGUUCAAGUAGUAUUAGAAUGUUUUUGUAUUUUGAUUGAGAAAAAGGUUUUUGUUUUAGAAUGAAUGCAAAAGAGAAUGGAAAAUCUAAGGGAAUUCUAAAGAGAAACUUAAUGUUGGCAUGCAAUAGUAUUCCUAAAGUUAGGAUAAAAGGGAAACAUCUAUCUAAGUUAGCAUGCGAAGAUUGACCUAUGAUUAAGGAUCAAUGGGACUACCUAAUGUUGUCAUGCUUGGUUAACAAACCUAAGGUCCACUUUAGUUCAAUAUUAACCAAUAGUGUACAAAAGAAAUCCUAUGGGGAACAUGUUAUCCAUACAAUGAAAAGAGAUAGAAGAAGAUGACAAUCCAUAUCAAGUCAUAGAAAAAGAGGAAGUCAAUACCAUAUCAAGUCAUGGAAGCACAGAUAAAACAUACCAUAUCAAGUCCUGAAAGAAAAGGUAAAGUAAAAGUAGUCCAUAUCAAGUCAUGGAAAAAGACAAUAGCAAUCCAUAUCAAGUCAUGGAAAAUAUAAAGUGAUCCAUAUCAAGUCAUGGAAAAGAUAGUACUAGUAAUCCAUAUCGAAUCAUAUAGAAAGAUAAUAGCAAUGACAAUCCAUAUCAAGUCACAGAAGAAAAAUUGAAAUAAUCCAUAUCAAGUCAUGGAAGAGAAGAUGAAAACAAAUCAAUCAAGCAAGAGAUAAAAGGUGAAUUCUUAAGUCUAAAUAUGCUUUAAGAUAUCACAAACUAUCACCAAAAGGUCACAUGUUAACAAAUAGCAACUACUCACUCAAACUAGUCAUGAAAGAGGGAGACAAGACUCAAACAAGUUAUGAAUACAACUAAAGCAGGCAACAAGUUACUAAACCAAAAUGGGCAGCAACAUCACACCAAAAUAAACACAAAGACAUAUUUUCUAGCUAAAGGUCAUGUAUACAUGGUUUAAUCAUCCAAAGGUUCAAGGAAAGCACUCAAAUAGGCAUACUAGCAAGCAAUGGUCCUAAUGUGUCAAGUAUCUAAACAAACAGGGCAUGAGAAGAGUGAAGUGAAGGGAGAUGAGAAGUCAUACAAGGCAAUAUAAAACACAUCAAGGACCUAUCAUCAUCACCUAAGUAUACUUGAUAAAGAUUCUCAAUCAAAUCAUACAAGGAAUGACAACCACACAACCAUAAAUGGACAUAAGUCCUCAUGCAAUGCUAAUAAGAAAAACUAGUAAAGAUAAGAGAUCUGAGAAAUAAGUAAGAGACAAACAUAUACAUUUUAUUCAAUUAAAAAAAGUCUCAAGAUCAAUAAGAAUUUCAAAUCAGCAUUGAAUCCAUAGUACAAGCACCAAAGUACACAAGCAUCAUUCAAAGUUGUAAAGGGAAGUGAACAUAAGUGUGUGAGCAAUUAGAUAAGGCAAAGUACAUAAAUAAUGAAUGAGAUCAGAAGCUUAGACAUGGUGUCAAUACACAUAAUAAACUCAAGACAUCACAAAGUCAUCAUAUCAAAGCACACUCAAAGAUUGAUACAAGUAAUGAUCAAAAAUCAAACCCUAUUCAUGCUCCUAAAGGAAAAAGAACUUAAAGCAAGUAUUGAUGAAGUAGGAUUGUGGAAAGAUGGUAUAAAACCACUUAUUUCAGAAUUAGAUGAAAUAUUAAACUCAAAAUACAAGUCACUCAAGCAUCAUGAAUGAAUCACAUAAACCAUGUUCAAAGAUAGACCAAGAGAUAGGCAAACAAUCACACAAGUUCAAAGAAGCUUAAGCAAGAAGUAAUGAAACAAUGAAGGCACACACAUGACAUCAAAGGAUGUGUGAAUUAUUCAAUAAUUUAAUUCAAUAUGAGGUUCAAGAUAAAUAAGAGAAGUCAUCAAAACUUCACACACAAAUCAAAGUCAAGUAACUUGGUAAACAAGUAAAGAUAUCAUCCUAGAAAAGGAAUCCUUUAUCAAAAUUCAACAAGAUAAAAAAAGAUCAAAAAAGGGGUGCUUAUAGGUCAUGGGACAAUAUAAAAAUCCUCAAAGCAUCAAAUACAACCACCAAACUUCAAGAGGUAUCAACAAGCAAACAAACUCAAAGUUCAUGCACAACUAGCAAGUUAAAAAGGUGGGCAUCAUCCAAAUAAGGAGUCCUUUGUCCAAUCAAAGAAAAUGAGUAAUGUAAAAUGAAUUUUAAACAUGAAUAAAUGAAAUGGUAACAACAUCACACUAUACAAAGAUGGAUCCCAGGCUCCUAAGAGCUUCACCAUCCACUAAACUCAAAACUAAAUCAAGAAAAGAAGAAUUUAGCUCAUAAUAUGUCAUCAUGAUUAAGUGGAAACGGAAUACCAUUUAAAGAAUCAUAAGAGAAUGGUAUAAGUAUAUCAAUACCAAGGAAGUCAUAAGCAAAACAAGAAGAAACAAAUACAUUUGGACCAAUCGUACUCAAGUUGGAAUGUACAAGACAAAAUCUAAAUUAUGGUCUCAAAAGCAAGCAAAUAGUACUCAAGACAAACAAGCAAAGAAGCAUCAAUUGGAGGUACCUAAAAUGGUCCACAUGGGUGAAUCUAGGAAUCCUAAAUGAUGAUGAAAAGGUCAAGGAAGAAUGGGAAAUAGAUCCAAAAUGGUUGCACAAGUCAUACCAAAAAAAACAUCUAUGGACAAAAAUGUCACAAGAAACAAACAUACUUUAAAUAAUACAAGAAAAAUAGUUUAAAGUAUGGAAAAAUCAUGAAAAAUUAGACAUAUAAAGGUGAAGUCAGGAUCUCAAUAUAUCCUAAAAAUGUGCUUAAAAUAUGUGCAAAAGAUGCUCAAACAAACCUAACAUUUAAGCAAUGCACAAAUAAUUGAUCACACAAAGAAAUCUUCAAAAAUAGGUCCAAAUAUGAUUCAAAAUUAAUAACCAAAACAUAAAAUUAGUGAUAAAAUUUCCUAUAUACAUAUGUGUGCAUGUGUACAAAAAUUUGGAUCAAGAUCAAAAAGGAAAGAUCAAGAACUAAACUCUAACAUUCAAAACUAGGUCAAUUAAGCAAAUUUGAUUAUAAAAUCAUAAGUAAAUAUUAAAAUAAAUUAAAAAUGAAAUUAAAAAAUAUGUAAUUUUAAAUAACAUGCAAAAGAUCAAUCAUGAUUUUUUUUGGGAUUUUUGGAUAAAAGGAAAUGUCUAAAUAAAAAUUAAAAAGAAAAAUAAAUAAAUUUUAAAGGAAAGAAACAAAGAGGGUGCGUGCUAGUAAAUUGAAUAAAAGAAAAUUAGUUUAAAAAAAUGAAAAGUGGGCCAGAAUAAGAGGGUGGGAAAAGCAGAUGGCACGCGGCCCAGUCCAAACACCAACAGAAAACAAAACAAAAAAUUGAAUUAAAGGAAAGCGUGUCACGUUUUCAUGUGGUACACAAUAUCAAUCAGUUGCCUUUUUUUUAAAACACAAAAAGACAAAAACAACAAUAACCAAUCACGUCUCACCACCUCUCCAUAUUCAACCUUCGGCCAUGCAUAAAAACGAAAACAAAACCCUAAACCUUACCCAUACAUGCAUACUUUUUCCUCAGAUUUCUCUCUCAUGUUUCCACCAAAUCGAACAAAAUUUGAAGCAAACUUGUAGUACUCAAUUAGUAGAACAACAUGGUAUCCUUAGUUUUCACAAAUGAAUAAUGGAUCAUGGAGAAAAGUAAGCAACAAUAUACAGGUUCAAACGUGUUAAGCAUCAUUCAUUCAAAACUGUAAACAAAAGUUUGAGUCUAGCUCCAUGAUAUACUCAUUAGUAGAUCUUUCAGAUGCAGAUGCAUGAGCCUAAACAUGAUUAAUAUCUAAGCAUGAAGAAGGAUGAGGUGAAGAGUGCUUACCUAGUGGAGAGUGUCCACUGCACUUUUGGUUCUUUGAGAAGAAAGAAGAGUAGGAUCUGAGGAAGAUGAUGAACAAGGAUGAGCAAAAUAAAUGCUCAAAAGGAAGCUUCAAAUAGAGAAAAAUAAUGAGAGAUGGAGAAACUUCAGAUAUGUUUCCUUCCUUCCAACGUAUCCCCCCAAGGUUUAGAGAGUGAGAGUGAGUUUUAUAGAGGUUGUAGGUGAGGGUAGAAAGGUAAGUUCAUGCUAAAAAGUUUGUUACUCCAAUUUGAAAAAAAUGAAAGUGAGAGAGCAUGUAAUUGUGUGAUGCAUUUUGAAUGGUAUUGUGGUGAUCUUUUUGUGUCGUUUUGGAAGCUGAAAAGGAGUGGAAAAGGGUCAGCACGUGGGACUUUGGGACAGAGUGGAUGGAGCAAGAUUGGACAAAGGGAACGUUUUCCCUAUUUGGAAACGUUGAUGCAUGGUGUUCAUGCAUGAUAUAUGCAUGUUAGGUGGUCAUAAAAGGCAAAUAAGAGGUGAGGUAGGCGUGCAGUAUUGGCCAUGGUGCAAGCAAUUAAUAACAAACAUGCAUGAAACCAAUAAAACUCAUGAUAAUGAAAAUUAAAGAUCAGUCAUGCUCAAGCUAUUAAAUCUCCAUUGUUUCUUGACCAAAUGAAGUCAUCUUGGGCUUUUUGGAAAGAGGGAAAGGAGAUGAACAAGUUUCAUGUUGGAGGAAAUUUGAGACAAGGCCUAAAAGUCCAUUAAAAAUGGCCACGAAAGCAACAACUUGGAACUGCUUGCAUGCAUGUAAAUUAUAGGUCCUUUGGCAACUUUGACGACCCAACUUUGCAGCUCUAUAACUUGCUCACUAAACCACCAAAUAAGAAACUUUAUGAAGUUAAAAUGAAGAGAGGAAUUUGAUCUAUAUCUUUCAUGUUGAAGUUGCUUUGAAAUGAAGCUAAGAAGCAGCUCAAAAGUAGUUACUUGAAACUGAUUAAACACUUAGCAAAAAUUUUACUAAGUACAAACCCAAUUACAACUUUAAGGUCUUGACUUUGAAAGAGAAUAACUUGAGUUGUAUUAAACCAAAUGAGGAGUUCUUUGAACCAUUAGAAAGAGAAAACUUUGUACUACAAUUUUCAUGUUGAAGUUGUCUUGAAAUGAAGCUUGAAUCUAGGUGAAAAAUGGCCAUGAAGUUAACUGAAAUUAGUUGUAAACUAACCAAAAAUAGUAACUUUCGUCCAAAACCCUAAUUUCCAUUUUUGAUAACUUUUCAUAAUUCUUGAUUUUUGAUGAAUCUGUUGAAUUUUCUUUAUCAAAUUUCAACCAUAGACCAUAUUUGACUUGUAUAACACAAUUUUGACCCAAAAAAAUCAAGAGUUGACUUUUUGAUCUGCUUAGUUGACCUUUCCCCCAAUUGAAUCAAAUUAUUGAUCAUCUGAGUAAUUGAACCUCUUGUGAUUAAAAUUGAUCUGCUUGGUUGACCUUUCCCCCAAUGGCGUAUACUAUGUAUUGUAUGCAUACACCAAUACAUGUGACAUCAAGGCAUGCAUGCACCUAUGCAUGUGACGCCUACAUGCAUUGGCUUUGCAUGCAUGCGCCCAGAGCCUUGGCGCCUCCUAUGUAGGUUAAUCAAUUGCGUCAGUUCAACUGACGCAUCAGUAAAAAAAAGUGAUUAUUUUAAUAUAUUUUUUAAAAUUUUGAUUAUUUUGAAAUUUUAUUUUUAAAAACUGAUUAUUUUAGAAAAAUCUAACUAGUACUAGUAUAUAAUCCAACAAAAUCCAGGCACACAUCACUCGUUGAGUUGCGCGCCAACACUGUUAAAUUUAAAUAUUUUUAGCAAAUAUUAAGAAUUUCAAAAUAUAUUUUAUUUAAACUUUAAAAAAAAAAAAUUUAAUCGCUUCAUAUUAAGAAUUUCCUUCUAAUAUUGUAGCACGGACAGUUGGCAAUUUCUCUAGGCUAAUACUUGGCCUUACAAUAACCACUGUUUUAAGGAUACUUCUCUACUACUUUAGAGUUACCCUAUUAUUAAUUGAACAAGUAGAGAUUUAAACAAUUAUAAUUUUGUGAAAAUGACAUGCCAACCAAUUAUUAAUUACCAAUGGAGAAUAUAGAUUUGUACAAGUUAAACGUUGCUUGCACUAGACUACUAGAGAAACAUCCCCCUAUACACUUGUUUUUCACACGUGUGCAUGCAGUAUGCAUAAACUUUCACACGUGUGCAUGCAGGCUUCUACCAUUUUAGAAUCUAAAAAGUAUUGAUAUCAUCAAUUGAGAUUUCUUUGGGGACCUUCAAAUUUAAUUGUUGGGUAUCCCAUUUAGAACUUUUCAACUUUUGAAUGAAAUCAUCAAACCUAUCUUCCAAUUCCAUUAGACUAUUGGCAAGUUGAUCAUAUACAUUACCCUUGCUCUCCCAGUUCUCACUAAGCCAGAAUGUCUGCCAAAUACUUCGCAAUACCGAUAAACUUGUAGCUCCAACCUGCAAUGUGAUGGUAGAAGAUGAGAUACAACCCUACAUGCUUCAUUGAUUUUGAGCUUGAAACAUUAUAUCAGUUGUUUAUACCUUGAAAGAAACGUAAAACUUCAAAUCAUCUAGCUGCGGAUUCACAACAAGAAUAUAUUUUUCAUUUGCGUAUAAUUUGAGAAGAUUCUCUACCUGCACACCAUUCUGACAUUAGUUAUAUAAUUUCCAAAUGUAAAAUAAUUAGUUGUAAAACUGUGAUAAUAGCAGCAAUAAUGACCAUGUACCAAAAAAUGAGAUCUGUCCAUGACAUCCAUCUUCUCUAAGGGUGAACCGAAAAUUAUUUUUGGCUUCAUGAAUUGUGACCAGACUAAUAUAUUCUCUUCCUUGUUGCAUUCCAUGCAUCCUGAAAUAAAUCCAUUCGGAAAAUCGGAAAUUACCUUGAAGGGUAAUAACAAUAACUCACAACAAAAACCACUGAAUUUAUCUGAAUCUAACCUGGAACAGUGGAAUGUAAAACAUGUGAUUUUACCAGUAUGCGGGCACGCUUAAGAUUUAUCUGCAAAAAAAGUUACUUAUACGGCAAGAAAACAAAACAAAGCAACUGUUCGAACAAAGAUUGGUAGAUUUUAUUCUUUACCGUGUUAAACUGGAGAACUGAAAGUGAUUCAUAUCGUAGCCAAAUAUGAAGAAGUCGUAUACACAACCAAGUUGAUGACAGUACAGUAUAUGAUUUUACAAGGCCAGGUGUAUCCUGCGGUCAAAAGCUAAAAGAUUGUAACAUGGAAAUCAACGGUGUUGUGGUGCUUCCGCAAUAAGAAAUAAAGGUAUCCUGAAAAAUUAUGUAGUUUACCAGUAUCAAUAUGCCUAAACCAAGGCCAACCAAUUGAGCUACCACUUCCCAAACCUCUUCCUGAGAUAUUUUGAUGAAACAAUUAUUGUUGUAGUUUUGUCAUGAAUACAUGUAUAUAGAUAUGAUGCUUGAAAGCAUGAAAUCAUGAAGGCUCUAUAGAUAUGAUCAUAAGUGAAUGAAUGGCAUGAGAGUAUACAUCACCUUUGCUGCUACCUCUCCUAGAUUUGCGGAAAUUGCAAAGUGGCUUUGAAUCACUCGAAAAGAAGGAUCUUUUAGUCCUCUUGCUAUAGCCUGUUUUAAUGUCAAACACAGAAAAUCACACAACCAUAUGUGCUUGUUUUCAACAUACCAUAUGUGCAUUUAAUUACCUUAGUGAGAUUUCCAAGAGAUGCCAAAGGAAGAAAAUAUCCAGGAUAUAACUGGGUUGUAAGAUCAAAAAUGCUGCAUGAGAUACCAUUGUGGUAAGGGUUUCUUUAGAGCAAUAUUUCAUUUGCAUAUUUCCAUAUGAAAACAAGAAGGCGUGCUCAGACCUUCCGGCACUGCCAAUGAAGUCUGCAUACAUUCUCCAUUGCUUUGGAUCGUCAUCAAAAAGAUUCCCAAACCUCCCACCUGGAAAAAUUAAUAAACGUCAGUUUAAAUUAAAAAAUUAGUACAUAAUCAUCUGCUUCCUUAAGUUUUCUUCAUGAAUUCCCAGACCAAUGAAUAAGCGCCCGACAGCUCCAAUGCCAUCCUUUGAUACCCAUCUAAAGAUGAAAGCAUAAAAUGUUCAAUCAACCAGAGAUAAGUCAAAUAACAAAUAAUGGCUGCAAAGAAGCAUUUAACAUGAGUUUAAUUUUGACAUACUAGUCAGCAAAUCACAACCAAUCAUUUGCGUUACUUUAAAAGUAGUUAUAAUUGAUGUCAAGUGUUUUUAAUGAUAUGACAAUGUUGAUUGAUCGACGGUGUAAAAAAUAUUUAGGCUCAAAGUAUAUGAAUUAUAUCCUUAACAUAUUACCGUAUGUGUUUCAAAACGGUAUUACUAUAUACAAAAGUGGAAUAUUUAAAAUUCAUAAUCCACCUGAUGGCAGCAGCAGAAGCAGCUGCCGUGGUUCCAGAGAAAGAACCGACACCAACAGCCUGCAAGUGAAGGGGGAAUUUCGACACGAGACAGAAACACAAUCAGCAUUCCAUAAAUUUACGUGAGAGAUAAAUAACUUUAAACACAAGACGACACGGUGAAUGAGCGAGCACAUAGAAUUGCAUUGCACUACACUUUGUUGCAUGAUCACAUAGAAACAAAUAAAACCUUCAAAUGACUUUUUUAAAGGAACAUAUACAACUGCUGAAGGAAAUGGUUUCCUAAUCAAAUCAACAUGCUUUAGGAAACUUCAAUCAAGAUAAAAAAUCAUUUAUGUGGCAAUUAGAUGAUAGAAAUACCGAUAUAACGAUUUUUAACAUUUGCCCUUAACCGUAUGCCUUACUGACAUGCACAGUGAUAUUUUGUGCACUAAUUAUCAAACUUGAUGCUAAGACCACCAAAUGCAUAUUAACCAACUAUAAAAUUAAUCAAACAUUCAUAAUUCAAACAAUCUUGAGAAAAAGAAAAAUUAUCAACAAGAAAGCCAUGCCUUUAGCAGACUUGAAGUGACUAUGGUGUGACAUAUCCAUCCAGUCACAUUGGUAGGGAACUGUAGUACCAUGUAAUGCAAAUAAUCAUCUGAGACUGAUCCUGCAUCAUACUGAGAAAGAUAAGUAAACAAACAGUUACCCUCCAACUUCAUCUAAUCACUGAAGUUAAAACUCUAGUAUUCUAGUGAUCCUUAGUUCAGUCUUAAUUAAAUCAUUAGAAAUUUAUGACCUAUUGGAUACUAUUUCUAUGGCAUCAAGUUUUAAAGUAUUUCAUACCAAAAAAGAA